RNAcentral lists this long non-coding RNA (67178 nucleotides) under Nicotiana tabacum (common tobacco). RNAcentral's name for it is "long non-coding RNA (NTAB_LNC006936)". Lineage: Eukaryota; Viridiplantae; Streptophyta; Magnoliopsida; Solanales; Solanaceae. The record is from RNAcentral.
UCAUUUUCCGGGAUGUUCGGUGUCGUGUUUCAGAGAGUUUUGGGACACCCUAAAUGAGAGCUUAAGUGUUAGAAAGUUGACCGUAGUCGAAACAGUGAGAAGACGGCCUCAGAAUGGAAAUCUGAUGGUUUCAUUAGCUCCGUUAGGUGAUUUCGUGCUUAGGGGCGUGUUCGGAUUGUGUUUUGGAGGUCCGUAGCUAAUUUAGGCUUGAAAUGCCGAAAGUUGAACUUUUGAAGUUUCCGGUUCGAUAGUGAGAUUUUGAUCCGAGGGUCGGAAUGGAAUUCCGGAAGUUGGAGUAGCUCCGUAGUGUUUAAUGUGACGCACUGCAAAAUUCAGGUCAUUCGGACGAGGUUUGAUAGACGUUUUGAUCGAAAGCGUAUUUUUAGAGUUUUUGGAAUUCUUAGACUUGAAUCCGAUGAAAAAUAGGUGUUUUGAUGUUGUUUUGACCGUUCCGAAGGUUGGAACAAGUUUAAAUGAUGUAUUAGGAUUGGUCGGCAUGUUUGGAUGAGGUUCCGAGGGCCUGGGGGAUGUUUCGGAUGCUCAACGGAUCAUUUUGGAACUAGAGAAAUUGCAGAAAAAUUUGCAGCAGCACAGUUCUGGUUUCCUUUUUUGCGUUCGCGAGUGGGGUCAUGCAUUCGCGAAGAGGAGCUGGGGCUGGUGUGGAAUUUACUCUUCGCGUUCGCAAAGGAGCUUACGCGUUCGCGAGGCUGUAGGACUUGGUGCCUACGCGUUCGCGAAGUUAGUCUCGCGUUCGCGUAGGGGAAGAGAACUGAACAUCGCGUUCGCGGCUCAGGCAUCGCGUUCGCUUAGAGGGAGACUGGCCAGUGGAACGUGCAUCGCAUUUGCGAUAGUAGCCUCGCGUUCGCGAAGAAGGAAAUACCUGGGCAGAAUAUAAAAUUUUAAAAUCGAGGGUUUAGCCAUUUUUAUCAAAACUUAAGCUUUGGAGCUCGGAUUUGAGCGAGAUUUUGAGAGAUUUUUAGAGAUAUCGAUUGGGUAACGAUUCUUAACCCCUUUUUGCUUGUAAUCCAUUAAUCCAAACAUGAAUUCAUCAUUUAAUUUGAAAUUUAUAUGAAAAUUUGGGGAAAGCUCUUAGACCGAAAAUUCAAGUUUUGAUUGGGGAUUUGACAUUGGAUUUGGAUAAGUUUGGUAUGGUUAGACUCGUGGGUGUGUGAGGAUUCUGGAAAUAUAAAUUUUACGCGAUUCCGAGACGUGGGCCCGAGGGGCAUUUUGGUUAUUUUACCUAGUUUCGCGUAUUAGCCUAGNNNNNNNNNNNNNNNNNNNNNNNNNAAAUAGAUUUGGGCCAUUUGGAGUCGAGUACUCGUGGCAAGAGCGUGGUUUCGGGUUGAUUUUGAGCGGGUUUGAGGUAAGUGGCUUGCCUAACCUUGUGUGGGAGACCUUCCCCUUAGGAUAUGAUAUAUUUGAUAAUUGAAAUGCCUUGUACGUGAGGUGACGAGUGCGUACUUGAGCUAAUUGUUGAAAAUCCGGCUUUUACUUAAGUAUUUCAAUUAAAUUCUUUUUUUUUUCUGUUUUAUUCUACUUGUGAAUUUAGCCUGUUGCUAGUUUAGAGAAGCAUGUUUAGUCGACUUAAUUGCCUAUUUGCUUAAACUGCCUUAAUUGCAUUACAUGAAGCAUGCUAUGCUAGAAUUAACUGUUUACUUGGCACGAAGUUUAGCUUAAUUGGGUAUUCUUGUGUUGCUGCUGUGUGUUUUUACUUUGGGACUACGGGACGGCAUCCCGGGAGAUCCCCUAUACGUAUUUAUGAUCUGAACUGAGGUGCGGGAUACCAAGAGAUCCCUGGCACGUAUAUUGAGGAUACCAAGAGAUCCUCGGGAUACCGAGAGAUCCCUAGCAUAUAUUGAGGUACCAAGAGAUCCUCGGGAUACCAAGAUCCCUAGUAUAUAUUGAGGAUACCAAGAGAUCCUCGGGAUACCAAGAGAUCCCUAGCAUACAUUGAGGAUACCAAGAGAUCCUCGGGAUACCAAGAGAUCCCCGGCUAUCAUCCUUGCUAUGAGUGAUACUUCCUGAUGUUUGCCUUUAUUUCUGUUUCUGUUAUUGUACUCCUUGUUAUCCUGUGUAGAUUCUUACUGUAGAUUCUAAAUUGUACUGUUUAUCUUAUCCAAUCAUCUUAUUAUUUAUUUAACCUCAGUAGGGCCCUGACCUUCCUCGUCACUACCCAACCGAGGUUAGGCUUGGCACUUACUAAGUACCGCUGUGGUGUACUCAUGCCCCUUCUGCGCAUGUUUUUCAUGUGCAGAUCCAGGUACCGCUACCCAAGCCUAUCAUCCUUGAGGAGGCGACUGCUCUAGAGACUUCGAGGUACAUCUGCCGCGUCCGCAGACCGAGAAGUCCCUUUCUAUUCCUACUUUUAGUAUUUAGUCCUUCUGUAUUUUUCUGUUCUUAUUAGACAUUCCAGAGUUAGAGCUAUGUUGUAUUGAUCUUAGCUUAUGAUUCGUGGGUUUUCGGGUCUUGAAUAAAUGUUUUGGUAUUGAGAGUUAAACGUGGUGUAUGCCGAGCGGUACAUUUAAACACUAUUACUGCUUUAUUUCUGUUUUAAAUUAUUUUGCUUCCACAAAUUUUGUUUUUCUUCCAUAAUUUAGGAUUACCUAGUCAUAGAGACUAGGUGCCAUAACGAUGGUUCACGGAGGGAGAACCGGGGUCGUGAAAGAUUUAUUUAAACGUGCCUAAAGCAAACUAGGAUAUUCAUCCGUUAUUCAUGAUUAAAACUAGAUUUGGGAUUAUUUAGAAGGUCAAAAGAUCCGAAAAUACUUUGUGUUGAAGAUAAAGGGUAGAUGGAGGUUUAACAAGUGUGUGAUUCUUUAGAAAAUUGACUAUUAAACAUUUGGGAGGAACAAUGCUUUUGGACAAACGAGAGGGAGUAACAGUAUGAGUUAGAUCUUAAUUGAACUCUCGUGGUGGACCUCCAAUAGGUCAGCGUGCAAGCAAGGAUACGUUAAAAAUAAGGCCCAAGACCUCUUAGCUUUUUCUGAAAUGUUUGGCCCUUUUGACAUCUUUACAUGCCAUGGUUUGGCCAGUGAAAUGGGUUGGUUAAACCCAAUUCAGCAUUCUACUUUAUACCUAGCAAAAUAUUAAAUCUAUACGUCCAUAACCCAAGCACAUAGGAAUAAUUUGAUUACAUCCAUAAAGAUAUCAUAGGCUACAGGAUUGAAUUCAUAGAAUCAUGUUGUUUAAUUUGUUACAAAAUGAUCGCACGCAGAUAUUUAGAAUUUUUGAACCCCAAAUCUACAAGGGCAUAAUUCCCUAGCCCAACAUAGUAGAAUAACACAAAUGAUGGACUGAGCAUUACCAGGUCCAAUACAUGUAAGAAAAUAGUUUUCAAAGUCUUACUUUUCAGAGAAUCAACAUUAAUGACAUUAUAAUUCAGUUUUGGCUUGUAAUUAAAUACAACAGGCUAAAAUUUUAAAGGAAAUGCUUAUUAACUACAAGCAGAUGCGACAAUUAAAUUUUUCAGUUCUGAAGUUUGGAAUCUAAUGCUUCUUAACCAUAUCUGCUCGACUUUUACAAAAUAAAACUAUAGACUUAAUCUAUUACACCAAUAUUUUUGCAAAUUCUGAGUUAACAAUAAUUAACCAUCCUUUAUACAUACUGGACUUAAGUGUUGUUACCAAACUAAACUGCUUCUUCUCAUGUCUUUUGGAAUUAGACAAUUUAAUCUCAAACAUCCAGGGCUUUAAUAAAUAAAUCACAUAUAAUUUGAACUUCCCAAAUACUUUUGACUGCAAUGUGAUGCUUCUCAUCUUUACACAGACAACAAAUGUGCUUAUAGGCUAAAUGAUUUUGAAAACAUAAAUUUCAAUUUUAUCAAGUAAUAUUAAGCAAAGUAAUAGCCCUACGAAUGUAGUAAGACAUACUUAUGCUUCAGGAAACCAAACUUAACUAACAAUCAUACUCUAGCUAAUAUUACCAUUUUGUUUUAUCUAAAACAAAGACUAUGUCAAGGAGAUAAGUUCAAGUAUCGACCAAUCAACUUACAAACAGACAUAAGAUCAUGUAAGAGCAACAAACAGUCAUAAAUCCAUAUUAAAACAGAAAACUUUGAUUAUGCUAAAGAUCAGAGUUGUACAGAAUCAUAGGAGUGUACCUAAUUGCCAAGAAAAUAGCAGAAAACCAGAAAAUAAGUCUCUGAAUCAACAGGAAUAUCAACAAGGUAACAACUUCAAAUUAAGAGCAAAAAUCCAGCAGCUCAACCAAAGGAAAAACCCAUAAAAAACAAGUGAGAACCUGAAGCAAAACUGACUCUUGUUCCUUAUUUUUUUGCUUUGAAGAAUUUACAAAGUAAAAUUUCAGACUGUUUUUCUUUCAACGUGAAGGGAAAAUCAACCUAUAUGUGUGAGUGCUUUUUGUGUGUCUUGCAGAGAAUUAGUGUGUGUAUGUGUGAGUGAAGGAAUGUUAGAUCUUAUAUAGGAAAAGAUGAGGGAAUAACUUUGGGAAAUGCAGUCUCUAAAAAUAAGGAGAAAGGGCAUCUUUUAAAACUGAAUUAGACAGUAUCCAUUCAGAUAUUUACUCAAAAAAUUUCAACACUUUUAUCUUCUGAAAUUAACCCUUUUAACCCCAAAAUCUGAUCUAAUCUCUGUUUUUUUAUUGCAAUUUAGUCUCUGCUAGAGACUUCCUUAAACAACUGAAAAGGAUUCCAUAUUUUCGAUGCCCUUUAGCCUCCUUAAGUUUCAGUUAAUACCAAUUAGUGCCUUCUACCCUAACUCUACUAUCUUCUUUCAAUAAACAGAACAAUGACUACUAAUCAAACACUAAUUGAUCUAAAUUAAAAUUAAGUGAUCAAAAACAACAAACUAGCUAACCUAUCAAUUAAGCACAUAUGUAAUUUCAACAAAAAACUUAUUAACAAUCGACUAGAAUUCAAGUAGGACUAAGUCAAACAGUUAUUUAGAAAGCUAAAAUAUUUUUAGGCGAUUAGCUAUUAACCUAGGCAUGCAGUGAGAAACUAAGAGAAAGGAGAAUUUAUCAGAAUGAGUGAGAAAGACAAGAAAUAAAUUACCUAUUAAUCUUUAAGAGAAAGCGAACAUAGAAUUCCGACGAAAAUUCGACGACCAAAUACGGCUUAGACCAAAAUGCAAUCUCCGAGAUACGAUGUGAAUCUUACAUCAGUAGAUAGCUUUUAUUAAGAGCUUUCAAUUGAUGUAAAUUUCAAACAUAAAUAUGGUGAAAUUGGUCGAGUAUUUGAAAAGGGGCAAGAGGCUAGGGUUCAAUUUUGGAUUUAGAAUUGGAGCAGUUUGGUCGUAUUGGGGAAAUUGGAGGUAAGUUUGUAUUGAGGAUGGAGAGAGGAGUAUAGGGUGUGAAUUUGAGGGGGUUUGGAGUGGUGUCACCAGAGAUGAUUUUUGGGCGGCUCGGGUUUAGAUUCAUGGAUCUGGAAUUCUUCAACAACCAGAGGGUUUUGAAUGGAGAAAUCAAAGGAUUUGGAGAGGGGGGGGGAGGUAUUUGAUGAAAUUUUGAGGGUGUUUGGAGUGCCGCCGCCGCCACGGAGCGAUUUCCGCCGGCGGCGGACGACAGACGGUGGAGGUGAAAGAGAGAGGCGAGAGAGUUCUGAGAUUGUUCUCUAAGGUUUUGGGGGGAGGGUUCUGACAUUUUUAUGGUAAUAGAAAGUUCAGAUGUGAGCCAUUAGUUUACAUUAGAUCAACGGCUGAGAUUCAACAAGGAAAAACAUGGUCGUUUGGUAUAAUAAGGGGGAUGGACCGGUUUUGCAAGGGUCUGGGCUGGGGGUGGAUGGUUUUUUGGGCACUUGGACAGUUGGAUCAUGUCUUUGGCCCAAUUUGCUGAAAGCUAAACAAAUCCUCCCUUCUUUCCUUUGAUUUGAAACUUAAACAUGCCCACAAAUCCUAAAUUAAAAUCUAUUUUUGUAUAAUUAACCAAUUCCUCUACUUACUAAUGUUAUCCUUAAUUAAAAAUAUAAAUCAAACCAAAUAACUAAUUAACUAAUCCUAAAAAUGACCAUUGUAUUUUUGUUGUUGUGAUUUUUAUGUAUUAAUUCUAAUAACUAAAAUGCAAUUAAACCAAACAUGACAUGGAAUUAAAAUAUGACAACUUUUAUGAUUUUCUAUGAUUUUAAAAUAUUAAAAUAUGCAUUAAAAUGCAACUAAAUACAAACAAUCAAUUUAAAAGAAAAUCCUAAAAUCCUAUAAAUUCAAAAACAAACAGGAAAAAACUAGUUUUUGUGGAUUUUGUUGGAAUGUUUCUUGUUGGGCAAAAAUUACGUGCUCACACUGGAACUAUACAAAUUAAAUUGGACAAGUUACGUAAAUAGCUAAGAUUGCACUAGUGAUGUAAAGACCCUAUCUUCAUCUCAUAUUUAAUCAUGUAUGUCCUUAGUGGACUGUAUUCAAAUCAAAUCAAAGCAUCACAAGUCUACACCAGAACUAGAAACCAAAUUACGUACAAGAAAUUUAGACGAAGAAAAUAGGUAAACGGACAGUAACUAAUAGGUAUCUGUCGCUAAAAACCAAUUUUCUUUAUCUAUCGACAAUUGGUCAAACAAUGUAAGCUAAUUUUCACACAUGUUUCUGAGGAAAUAAAUGUCAUAUUUUUCACAUUUAGUGAGGUUGGGAAAUAGUAGCGACUCCACACUAAACCUGUUAAACGAGUCGGGCCAGGCCAUUGAUAGCCCGAUUUGAUCCGGAUUAGCUCGGUCCGAUGGGGGUGAGACGGGCUGGGGAGGGUUAGGAGUGGAGCCGGACGGGGCGGGCCUAUUUUGGUAACAGUACCCCGGAACCCGGUUAGCCCAGUUAUCCAUUAUCGGGCUACAACCCGCUGCAGCCCGGUUGCCGUUGAACACAAUUUUUUUAUUAUUAUUUUUUUGACCAUUGCCAACGGUCAAAUUCGAAAAUGACCGUUGGGCAGCGGUCAUUUUUUGCACUUUUGGCCUUUUCGGCCUACUCCCUUAAGAAAAUAGCCCCACCCUAAUAAUUGACAAAUUACAAUUUUAACCUGUUAAAAACUAUAAAUAGCCCCCCCUUCUUCUUUAUUUUUCUCACAAUUUGCUCUCUUGCUACUCUAAUUCUCUCUUGAUAAUAUUGCUUAUUACUCUCAAGUUCUCAAGUUUCAUCAAAUAUUUACUUUAGUCACUACAAAAUUAUAUAUCAAAUAUCAAAUAUUCAAGUGAAGUUUGGUAUCAAUAUUCAAUAUCAUCAAAUAUCAAUUGAAGUGUGAUCAAAUUUAGUGUGGCAUCCGGAAUCCUGGUACACUCACUCCAUCUCUUUCUUUUCUUUAGUGUAUAUUUUUAUUUUAUUAUUUAGAAUUAUUAAUUUUAAUUUAAUUUACAUAAUGGAUAUAUUUAGAGCAGCCAAAAAGCACGUACUAGUAGGGGUGGUAGUAGUAAGAGUAAAAAUCCUAAAAGAGCAAGAGGUGUUACUAGUUCUUCUAGUAGCUUUACACAUAUUUCUGAAAGUUCACCUGAAAAUUUAAAUGUAGAUUAUGAGCAACUUCAAGAAGAUUAUGGUAUAGAUGAUAAUUUAGAUGAUAUUCAAUCACUUGAUAAUCUUGAAAUACCACUACCUACACCUGGUACUGCUAGUUAAAAUACUAGGGGUGGAGGUCAUGGUAAUACAGGUAGACCUCCCCUCCCUAUUAAGAAGAAUAAAAGAUUAAGAGGUAAGUGUUGGGACUUUUUUUUUUGAAAGACUAGAAGAAGAUAAAAAAUAUGUAAGAUGUCAAAUUUGUAAGGAAGUUUAUAAACAUGAGACGAAGGUAAGUAGGGGGGAACAGGUCAACUUCAUAGGCACAUGGUAGAUAACCACCCUAUUACAUGAGAUGCUGAUGAAUAAAGUGGCCAACAAAAACUUAACCCGGGUACUGGCGGUUAAUGGUAAAUACGAUAUAGUAAAAGAUCGGGAAGAAUUAACUAAAACAAUUAUUUUAAGUUGUUUACCUUUUAGUUUUGCUGCUUCACCAUAUCUUGUUACUUAUAUUCAAAGAAUUUAUAACCCUUUGUUUAAAGGUAUUCCUAGAAGUAAUUGUAGAGCUGAUAUCUUUAGGCUUUUUAGACAAUAUCAGAUAUAUAUCCGUUAUUUGUUCGCCAAUCUUUCUUGUAGAGUUUCUCUUACUUCUAAUAUUAGUCGUGCUGUUAAGGGAAAUGAUUAUUUGACUGUAACAUGCCAUUGGAUAUAUGANNNNNNNNNNNNNNNNNNNNNNNNNNNNNNNNNNNNNNNNNNNNNNNNNNNNNNNNNNNNNNNNNNNNNNNNNNNNNNNNNNNNNNNNNNNNNNNNNNNNNNNNNNNNNNNNNNNNNNNNNNNNNNNNNNNNNNNNNNNNNNNNNNNNNNNNNNNNNNNNNNNNNNNNNNNNNNNNNNNNNNNNNNNNNNNNNNNNNNNNNNNNNNNNNNNNNNNNNNNNNNNNNNNNNNNNNNNNNNNNNNNNNNNNNNNNNNNNNNNNNNNNNNNNNNNNNNNNNNNNNNNNNNNNNNNNNNNNNNNNNNNNNNNNNNNNNNNNNNNNNNNNNNNNNNNNNNNNNNNNNNNNNNNNNNNNNNNNNNNNNNNNNNNNNNNNNNNNNNNNNNNNNNNNNNNNNNNNNNNNNNNNNNNNNNNNNNNNNNNNNNNNNNNNNNNNNNNNNNNNNNNNNNNNNNNNNNNNNNNNNNNNNNNNNNNNNNNNNNNNNNNNNNNNNNNNNNNNNNNNNNNNNNNNNNNNNNNNNNNNNNNNNNNNNNNNNNNNNNNNNNNNNNNNNNNNNNNNNNNNNNNNNNNNNNNNNNNNNNNNNNNNNNNNNNNNNNNNNNNNNNNNNNNNNNNNNNNNNNNNNNNNNNNNNNNNNNNNNNNNNNNNNNNNNNNNNNNNNNNNNNNNNNNNNNNNNNNNNNNNNNNNNNNNNNNNNNNNNNNNNNNNNNNNNNNNNNNNNNNNNNNNNNNNNNNNNNNNNNNNNNNNNNNNNNNNNNNNNNNNNNNNNNNNNNNNNNNNNNNNNNNNNNNNNNNNNNNNNNNNNNNNNNNNNNNNNNNNNNNNNNNNNNNNNNNNNNNNNNNNNNNNNNNNNNNNNNNNNNNNNNNNNNNNNNNNNNNNNNNNNNNNNNNNNNNNNNNNNNNNNNNNNNNNNNNNNNNNNNNNNNNNNNNNNNNNNNNNNNNNNNNNNNNNNNNNNNNNNNNNNNNNNNNNNNNNNNNNNNNNNNNNNNNNNNNNNNNNNNNNNNNNNNNNNNNNNNNNNNNNNNNNNNNNNNNNNNNNNNNNNNNNNNNNNNNNNNNNNNNNNNNNNNNNNNNNNNNNNNNNNNNNNNNNNNNNNNNNNNNNNNNNNNNNNNNNNNNNNNNNNNNNNNNNNNNNNNNNNNNNNNNNNNNNNNNNNNNNNNNNNNNNNNNNNNNNNNNNNNNNNNNNNNNNNNNNNNNNNNNNNNNNNNNNNNNNNNNCUAUAUUUUAUAAUCUUGCAGAAAAAAAUUUGUGUAUAUCAUUUGAUAAUGCUUCUAACAACAAAUCUACUAUUAUAAUAUUAAAAUUAUAUAUACACCCACCACUUCCUGAAAUAUUUCAUAUGAGGUGUCCAUGCCAUAUUUAUAAUUUAUUUAUUAAGAGUGACCUUGAAUUAUUUAGAAAUGAGAUCAUUUUAGUUAGAAGAGUUAUUGGUGUAAUUCAAUAAAAUAAUAGAAGUGAUAGAAAAUGCAUUUAAGAAUAAAUGCGUACAAUAUGGACUAAAACCAAGACUCAUGCCUGAAGAAAUAGUUACUUGGUGGUUAUACUUAUUUAUUCUUAAGAUGCUAUUAUAAAUAUAAAAUACCUAUAACUGAAGUUACUAAUUCUCAUUGUACCGAUCUUAACCAUUUGUUAACAUCUAGAACUUGAGAUGUCAUUGAAGAUGUUGUAAAAUCUUUACAAAUUUUUUAUGUAGCUACACUUGAGUUUUCUGGAGCUUAUUAUCCUAUCAUUGCAAAUAGUUUGCUGAAAUUUCUCUUUUACUCCAUAAUUUCAAGAAGAAAGGAGGAUAUAGUUCUGUUGUUGAAUAUAUGCUAGAUAAAUUAAAAAAAUAUUUCUAUCCAUUUCCCCCUAUUUACAUAAUUAAUGCUAUUUAAACCUUUUUAUCAAAAUGGCCACUUGUCACCGAUUAGUCAUUGUUUUAUAUGUUUAUAUAGAUAUUGGACCAACUGAAACCCCUGAUAUUGAAAUUUGUAUUUCUGAUCUAAACAAACAUUUGCAAACUUGUAUUUAUGUAACGUAAUGCUAGCUAGCUAUCUUGUUAAUUAUUUUCAGUUGUAACUAAUUCUCAUGUAGUUAGUUAUUAGUUAGCAUAGUUGUUAGUCUGUAGAGUUAGUGGAUUAGAUCGGACAACUGUCAAGUAAAUGUGUAUAUAAGUAGAUAGACACCCACACUAACUGUAAGCUUUUAUUUUUUCUACUGAUAUCAGAAAGUAGAGUACUUUGCACAAUCUCUCUUCCAUGUUCAUAGAUUCGAUCUCUGUAACUUAGCUAGGGGUUGAAUCCUAAAUCACUUUAUGGUAUCAGAGCAUGCAGCCACUAUUAUGAAGCUUUUCUACUAAAUUAAAGCCCUAAAUCGGAGAUCGGUGGAGAUAUCAACAAUGGUGGAGAUAGACAAUGAAUUUCUAGAAAAGUUGAGCUACAACCAUCUGUUAUUUCUCAAUUUGAAUGACAAUUCAGGAGCGAUUCUAAUAUCACUCUAGCUACGAGGACCAAAAAAUUACUCGGUGUGGAGCCGGGCGAUGCGAAUUGCAAUCCUAGGUUAGAACAAGCUAGGGUUCAUCAAUGGCGCAUGCAAAAGGGAGAAUUACGAGCAGAAUCUCGUAGAUUUGUGGGAAAGUUGUAAUGCAAUUGUAUUAUCAUGGAUAAUGAAUUGCGUAUCACCUAAAUGGCUCAGUGGGAUUGUAUAUUCUUCGAACGUGAGUGCAGUUUGGAGUGACCUAAAAGAGAGAUUCGACAAACAAGAUUGCUCAAGAAUUUUCAGAUACACAAACAGAUUGCUGCUAUUAGUCACGGUACCAGUUCCAUCUCUGGUUAUUUUUCGAAAUUGCGAGUACUUUGGGCAGAGUUUGAUAGCUUAGCUCCGAUUCCAAGAUCCGACUGUGAAAAAUCUCGUGACUUUGUUGUAUACAUGGAUCGCUUGAAGCUCCUAAAAUUUCUUAUGGGGCUCAAUGAGACGUACAAACAGGCUAGAAGUCAAAAUAUUAGUGAUGGUGUCGGUUCCAACUGUGAACAAGGCAUACUCCAUGCUAAUAGAAAGAGAGAGUCAAAGACACAUGACUAACACUUCUGGAACUAUAGAAAACAUGGACACAACAACACUCAUGACCACAAAAGGUAGAGGAGGUACUCAAAGGUUCAAGAAAAACUGUAACGCUUUCUGUGAUUACUGCAAGAUGGAAGGACACACUCGAGAUGGAUGUUUUAAAUUUAUUGGAUAUCCAGCAGAUUUCAAACCUAAAAGGAGAUUUGGGGGGAAAUAGUGCACAUAAUGUGAUAGCAGAAGACACAAACACACAGGCAGGAGCAAAUGAUGUACACCUAUAUCCAACUGGAUUCAGGAGCCCACCAACAUUUACACCAGAGAAAUUCAAUCAACUGUUGAAGCCGAUCAACAAGGAAAACCUACCAGAUAAUUCAGCAAAUGUUGGAAAUAGUGCAAACCUUGCAAGCACAUCAACCAUGGCAGGUAUUACUACUGCUCUCUCAGUGAAUGACAAUAACUAUGAAUGGAUCAUAGACACAAGGUCAACUAGCCAUACGUGUUCCAACUUAAAGUUGUUGAAUGAAUCCAGAAGGAUAGUUGAGAAUAGAAAAGUGCACUUACCUAAUGGGCAAGUAUCGGUUGUGUCACAUAUGGGUAGUUGUGGAGUAUUAAAAGGAGAAAUCAUCAAGGAGGUGUUGUAUGUGCCUGAGUUUAAACACAAUUUGUUGUAUGUGUCAAAACUUACAAAGGAACUGAAUUGUAUGGUGGCUUUCUAUCCUACUUUCUGUUUGUUCCAGGACCUCUCCAAUGGGAGGGUACCGGGGAUUGGUAAAGAGGAAGAAGAACUCUAUUUGUUGACAUCUCAGAAGAUAUGGAAGACAAAAACAACCUACAAUAGAAGGAUUUGCAGUUGAUAAGGAGGAAGAAUGCAUCAGAACAUGGCACAAGAGGAUGGGGCAUGUAUCAGUAGGUGCUAUGAAAUAACUUUUUCAAUUUUCACAUGAUACUUGUAAAAGAGUUGUAGAAAACUGUGAAAUUUGCCCCCUUGCUAGACAAACCAGGUUGCCUUUUAAUAUUAGUGAGACAAAGUCAUCUACUAUUUUUAUUUGUUACAUUUAGAUGUAUGGGGACCUUAUAAAGUUCAGACUUUUGAUGAAAAUAGAUCUUUUUUACAAUUUUGGAUGAUCAUUCUCGUAUGACUUGGAUUUAUCUGCUCAAGCUAAAAAGUGAUGUGAUCAUAAUCAUAAGAACUUUUUUACAAAUUGUUCAUACUCAAUUCAACAAAACAGUUAAAGCAAUAAGAGCAGACAAUGGUACUGAAUUUAUCAAUAAAUCUUGUGCUGACUUGCUUCAAUCCCAUGGAAUAAUACAUCAAAAGACUUGUGUUUACACGCCCCAGCAAAAUGGUGUAGCAGAAAGAAGUCAUAGGUACAUUUUGGAAGUAGCUAUUUCAAUCAGAUUUCAAAGCUCUAUUCCUUUGAGGUUUUGGGGGCAUUGUGUGUUAGGAGCUGUUUAUAUGAUAAACAUGAUGCCUUAUGUUUCAUUACAAGGAAAGACUCCACAUGAAGUUUUUCACAAAUGCAAACCUAGCAUGGACCACAUCAGGACUAUGGGAUGUCUUUGCUAUACCAAGAAGUUACCAGUGGGGGACAAAUUUGAGGCAAGAGCAGUAAAAGUAGUAAUAUGGGGUACUCUAAUGUGACAAAGGGUUACAUUCUUUAUAACUUGGAUAAUCACCCUUUUUCAUCUCAAGGGAUGUAUAUUCAAGGAGAAUGUAUUUCCAUUCGAACAUCAAGCCUCACCAAAGCGUAUAUUUUUAAAUAGGAAAGAGGUUUCUGAACUUGAUGAUCUAGGAGAACAUAUUAGUACACACAAAGAGAUCUUCCACUUGAUGACACAAGGGAAUAUCCUUUACCUACAACAAGAACCAAUGCUACUGAAUAUUAUGAACAUGAUGAGCUCACACAUCCAGAAGAAAAUUUCACCUCUGCAGCAACAAAAAUGAAUGAGCCCAAUAUGAUGCCUGAUCUUGAGGAGCAAAUAUCUCAGCAGCAAAUUGAGAAUAAUGAAGACCUGGUACUUCCUCAAUUGCUAAAUGAGGAUGGCGACCCCUUGAGAAAGUCUACUAGAGACAAAAUGACACCAUCUUGGAUGUCUGAUUAUGUCAAUGUUGUAACUUCUGGAAACUGUCACUAUCUUCUAAGUGACUGUCUUUCAUAUUUCUCUAUCUUAUCACCAUUAUCUGAUGAAUGUCUCUCAUGUGACUGAGCCAAAGAGUUACCAGGAACCUUGCAAUGAUCAAAAAUAGAUUGAUGCAAUGAAGGAUUCAAUCAAGGCAUUGGGAGAUAAUAAAACUUGAGAACUAGUCCAUUUGCCACAGAAAAGUCCCCAAUUGGGUGCAAGUGGGUCUACAAAGUGAAGUUCAAAUCUAAUGGAGACAUCGAAAGAUAUAAGGCAAGGCUGGUUGCAAAAGGAUACAACCAACAAGAGGGACUUGACUAUCAUAAGACACUCUCACCAGUGGUGAAGAUUGUCACUGUCAUGACUAGCACCUAGGCCAUACUUGCCGAGUACCAACGUACAUUUUAUCUAACCUUCCUUAUUAUCUUUAAGGGCCGACGAGAUCAUUAUAAAUGGUAGAUAUGGAUCAUGAACAACAAACAAUGAAAGAUAAUGGAAUGAACAUACAUAACAUGGGAUGACAAGACUCCCAAGAAACUACAUAUAAGUACGAGCUACCAUGCUCCCAUGAAAGACUAUACAACAAAAAUCAACCGACAAGGCAUACCAAACUAUACAUGGAUCGACACCUGUUUAUGAGCCUCUAAAAGAGCAUAAGUGCUACAGCAUUGCCGGAACAUGGCCCUGACAUACCCAUAAUAUCUGUAACAAAAAUGCAUACCAAGACCACGACAAGUCCGAAGAAGGGAUCUCGCCCAUAACCGCUAAACUGGAAAGCCUACUGUGUUGGGGGAGCUGCAUUUACCUGUUUAUUAGGACCUGCAACACGACAUGCAACGUCCACAAAUAUAAAGGACAUCAGUACGAAUAAAGUACUGAGUAUGUAAGGCAGGAAAUCAUAAGUAAGAACAGUAAUGUAAACAUGGAUAGAGAAUAUACAACCUGUGACAUCUGGAUACCUCUGAGGGCUACUGACAUGAAAUGUGUGAUAAAUACAUAAACUUUUAAAACAUACGCCUCUGUGACAUCAUCAUCAUCAUAUCAUACCCGGCCGUAAUGGGCUCGGUAAAACGUACCCGGCCACGUGGAGCUCGGUAAAAUCCAACUGAUCAGUGGUUGCACAAUAGGUAACGUACCCAGCCAACUAUAGCGCGGCUCGGUGGAGUAAAAUAGAUACAUAUAUAUAAUGCAUGUAGGAAUCAUUGCAAUCAUAUUUUGAACCUUUCGGAGUGACGUAAGGUCGAUAUUCUCUGUACACAUUAUUAGGAAUAACUCUUCAUCAAGAAUCUUAUAAGAAUCAGGAAGUACCAACAACAUUGAUAAUAUAAGAAUAAGAGAAGCAACCUCAACAUCAAUUGUUCCAUAAGAAGGGAAACAAUGUAAGUACUGCUAGCUUCUAAGAGUAGAGUACCCUUGGAAUAUCGUUCAUUGCAUUAUGUACAAUCGAAAUCAUGCAAAAGAAGGAAAAGGAUAGCCUCACAUACCUUGUAUAUGUACUGCCCAACCUCAAGCUAUGCAAAUGUCACGAGUCCUUGGUCUACAAUAAGAGAAAUGACACUAUCGUUAUCGUUUAAGCAUCAUAACUCUUAUGUAUCGACCACAACCUAUUUUACGAUGAAACUGACAGCACCUCCCCUAUAUAUAUGAUUUCACACAAGUCAAAACAAUCACCAAACAACCCAACAUACCCCUAUCACUUCAUACACAAUAUGACAACCAUAAUAGUGUCAAAUAAUCCGAAAAUGUUACGAUGAACGACCAACAAAUAACCUUGCCAUUAUGUGGUGUUUCUCCACACCCUUUCUCCUCUCAACUCCGUAAAAAUAGUAGCAAAAUGAGAUAACCCAAUAGCAACACAAAAAACCCACAACACAGUCCCACAAGUUUAGCAACUCAAAAUUAAUUUUUCAGUUUUCUUUUCUUUCAAAUUGAGAAAAACAACAAAAAGUACAUAAUUAUACCUCUUAUCCAAUAAACCAGCCAUGAAUUCAACUUAAAAAUAAGUUCACAACCAGCAAGCCAUGACAUAAGAACAAACAACAUACCACUCUUUCGAAACUCGCUAGGUCUAUUUUUUACGAUCGAGUUAUAACUCGUAAACGCAUAGAUAAUGGAAGGAGAAGCAUAACCUUACCUUGUACUGAGUAUAACCCACGAAACCUGGUCCUUCUUCAUCAAAAAUCAGUUCCUCAACACGGCUACAAGAUGGAGAAAGAGAAACUAGCAAGCUGUCCAGACUUUUUGGCACUAGUCACAUCGUAACACCCGAAAUACACUAGGGUUUGUGUGGGAUUUUUGGGGAGGAGUUGCAGGGGUUCAAUUUGAUUUUCAAGGUCUGAAAGAUGGGUGAAAUAAAUGAGUUGAUAAGCCCUUAAAAGUCCACUCUUGGGCGACUUUGGGGCUUUUAAUUGAGUCCUCUCAUUUUGGCAAGUAGGUGAUGCACCUACUUGUCACCUACCAAUCUGCGCAGUCUCAUGAAAAUGCGAAUAUCUCUGUACUCCGAUAUCGUAUUGACAAAUGGUUUAAUGCGUUAGAGACUAGACUCAUAGAUCUUCAAUUUUGUGGCUAGAUCACCUCGUAAUUCCAAGUUAAUUGGGAGAAAAGCUUAGUAACAUUUGACCUAAAGUUUAAGUAAAAUUAUGAACAUAAGUUGCGACAACUUUUGUUUCAUUACUCGUUUGACUUCAAGACUUAUGAUACGAAUAUUAUAUAAUUCAAAUACCUUAAAACACUACCUCUUGAGAAUAUUAGCAUCCCUAGGUUUACCCAAAAAUAUAGGUUAUAACAUCCUUGAUUCAUUUAAGUUCUAAUACUUGUUAACCACCCUUAUACACCCUUGUAUCAUUUAAGACCAAUAGGAUUAACUUUUUAUCAUCUCAAAGAUAAUCUCUUCUCAGAUUUACGUUGACUAACUUAUGGCAUGAGAAUAUGGGUUGUAACACUCUCUCCCCCUCCCCCCCAGGAACAUUCGUCCUCGAAUGUAAGGGUAUAUGGGGAGUCUAAAUCAUUAUGGAUUCCAGCAGAAAUUUUCGGCUGUGUUUUCCCUAUAAAAUGGACACUAGCGAAACUUGCAAGUAGUUAAACCCAACAUAUGGACUCACAAGGCUAUAGAAAGCAUUAUGGAUUUAUACAUUAUCUGCAUAUCACCAUUUUGUAUUAAGGAAGAGUAUUCUCAAGCUAUUACUUACCUCAUAGAGCCAUUUCACCCUCUAAUGUGUCAUGUGUUCCCUCGACAUCCUCGUUAUCUUUAUUCUAGAACAUGUAAGGGUAUUUAGACUUCAUCUCCUCUUCUGCUUCCCAUGUCAUUUCUUCCAUAUUCUAGUUCCUCCACAAUACUUUGAUGGAAGCUACAUCAUUUGUUCUCAGCUUGCGGCCUUGUCGAUCUAAUAUAGCCACUGUUAAUUCUUCAUAUGAUAGAUCCUCUGUAACUUGUACAUCUUUGAUAGAGACGACCCGAGAAGGGUCUCCAAUGCAUUUCUUCAACAUAGAUACAUGGAAUACCGGGUGGACAAAUUCCAAUUGGAUGGCAAUUCUAACUCAUAAGCAACCUGUCCAAUUCGUCGAUGAAUUUUGUACGGACCGAUAUACUGCGGACUCAGCUUACCCUUCUUCCCAAAAUGCAUAACACCCUUCAUCAGCGAUAUCCUUAAGAAAACCCAAUCACCAACCUCAAACUCCAGAUCACGAUGUCGGACAUCGGAAUAAGACUUUUGCCUGCUUUGCGUCGUCCUCAGCUGCUCUUGUAUCAGUUUCACCUUCUCGAUGGCUUGGUGAAUCAAAUCUGGCCCAUAUAGUUCUUUUUCACCGACUUCGAACCAUCCAAGUGGUGAUCUACAUAUCUUCCCAUAUAGUGCCUCGUAUGGGGCCAUUUUAGUAUUGGAAUGGUAGCUAUUAUUGUAGGCAAAUUCUAUGAGUGGAAGAUGGUCAUCCCAACUCCCUUUGCAAUCCAGAACACAUGCUCGUAGCAUAUCUUCAAAUGUCUGAAUGGUAUAUUCAUCCUGUCCGUCAGUUUAUGGAUGGAAUGCAAUGCUGAGAUUCACUUGUGUGCCUAAACCCUUCUGAAAAGACCUCCAAAAGUUAGCCGUAAAUUACUCUCCGUGGUCUGAUGUAAUACACCGGCACACCAUGAAGCCUCACAAUUUCCUUGAUAUACAAAUUCGCAUGAUUUUUAGCUGUGUAAGUUGUCUUAACUGGCAGAAAAUGGGCACAUUUUGUAAGUCGAUCAACUAUCACCCUGAUAGAGUCAAACUUAUGAUAAGAGCGAGGUAAUCCAAUAAUGAAGUCCAUAUUAAUCACCUCCCAUUUCCAGGUCGGAAUCUCUAUAUUUUGAAGUAAUCCACUAGGUUUCUGAUGCUCGAUCUUUACUUGUUGACAAUUAGGACACUGGGCUACAAAUUUUGCAAUAGACUUCUUCAUGUUAUCCCACCAAUACUUCUCCUUAACGUCAUGAUACAUCUUUGUCGAGCCAGGAUGGAUGGAAUAUCGGGAUUGAUGAAUCUCAAUCAUAAUAUUCUCUCGCAACCCUGCCACAUUAGGUACACAUAAUCGGCCCUGGUAUCUCAGUGUCCCAUCUCCUCCAAUCUCGAAAGCCGUAAUUUUACACUGCUGAAUGCUCUCUCUCAAUCUUACUAAGGUAGGAUCUCCGUAUUGUUGUGCUUUUACCUCAGCUACCAAAGAUGAUUCUGCUAUAUUCUGUAUAUUAACACCUCCGUCAUCAGAGUCUAACAAUCUGAUUCUCAUAUUGGCAAGCUGAUGAAGCUCUUUAGUCAACCCUUGUCUACCUGCCUCAAUGUGUACUAAGCUUCCAAUUGACUUACGACUGAGAGCAUCUGCCACAACAUUGGCUUUACUGGGAUGGUACAAUAUCUCGACAUCGUAAUCUUUAAGUAAUUCAAGCCACCUACAUUGCCUCAAAUUCAACUCCUUCUGCUUGAAGAUGUAUUGUAAACUCUUGUGAUUUGUGUAGAUGUCAACAUGGAUGUCGUAUAUGUAGUGCCUCCAUAUCUUCAAAGCAUAUAUUACUGCAGCCAAUUCCAAAUCAUGGGUUGGGUAAUUAUUUUCAUGCUUCUUCAAUUAUCUUGAUGCAUAAACAAUCACCUUUCCACGUUGCAUCAAUACGCACCCGAAACCUAUACCUGAGGCAUCACAAUAUAUACCACAUAACCUUCUGUUUCUUCUGGGAGAGUGAGCACUUGCGCGGAUGUCAAUUGAUUCUUUAGCUCCUGAAAACAUUGUUCACAAGCGUCAGACCACUAGAACUUAGUAGCUUUUUGUGUUAACUUAGUCAAUGGUGCUGAUAUAGAGGAAAACCCUUCUACAAAUCACCUAUAAUAUCCUGCUAGCCCCAGGAAGCUGCUGACUUCUGAUGGUGUUGUAGGUCUCGGCCAAUUCUUUACUGCAUCGAACUUUUGAGUGUCGACACUAAUACCAUCGUCAAAUAUCACAUGGCCAAGGAAUGCUACUGAGUUCAGCUAGAUUUCACAUUUGGAGAGCUUAGCAUAUAACUUACGAUCCUGAAGUGUCUGUAAUACUAUCCGCAAGUGGCCCGCAUGUUCUGCCUCCUAACGAGAAUACACCAAAAUGUCAUUAGUGAAUACGAUCACGAACACAUCAAGAUAGGGUCUGAAUACAGUCUUCAUGAGAUCCAUAAAAGCUGCUGGGGCAUUUGUCAGCCCGAACGACAUCACCAAAAACUCAAAGUGCCCAUAUCUUGCCCGGAAGGCUGUCUUUGGAAUAUCCUUCUCCUUAACCCUCACCUGAUGAUACCCUGAAUGUAAGUCAUUCUUAGAGAAAUUCUUGGCACCCUGAAGUUGGUCAAACAUGUCGUCAAUCCUUGGAAGUGGAUACUUGUUCUUUAUAGUAAACUUAUUCAACUGUCGAUAAUCGAUACACAUCCUUAACGACCUGUCUUUCUUCUGCACGAACAAAACUGGCACACCCCAAGGUGAAGUGCUAGGCCUAAUGAAGCCCUUAUCCAGCAAGUCCUUCAACUGCCCCUUCAACUCUCGCAACUCUGUCUGGGCCAUCCUGUAUGGAGGAAUAGAUAUGGGUUUAGUGUUGGGCAACACAUCAUGCUAAACUCAAUCUUCCUUUCAGGAGGAAGGCCUAGGAGUAAAUCUGGGAAAACAUCUAGAAAUUCAUUGACCACGGGGAUUGAUUGUAGAGUAGGCUGCUUCGACUCCGCAUCCCUAACGCGAACGAGAUGAUAAAUAUAACCUUUUGAGAUCAUCUUUCUUGCCUUAAGAUAGGAAAUAAACCUACCUUUCAGCGUCGCAAUGUUCCCCUUCCAUUCAAUGAUGGGUUCACCAGGAAACUAAAACCUACCAUCUUCGUACGACAGUGAACAUUUGCAUAGCAUGAGUCCAACCAGUCCAUUCCCAUUAUCAUAUAAAAAUGAACCAUUUCUAACUCAAAUAAAUUCGUCGAGGUUUGACAACUACAAAUUAUCACUAUGCAACCUCUAUAUACCCUUCUAGCAAUCACACAAUCUCCUAUCAGAGUAGAUACCACAAGUGGUUUACUUAUCAAUUCAGGUUCAACGCCAAACUUAUUAGCCACAAAGCCUGUAUCAUAUGAUAAUGUAGAUCCCGGAUCAAUCACCACAUAUAAAUCGUAAGAAAACAGAGACAAUAUACCUGUAAUAACAUCCGGAGAUGACUCGAGAUCCUAUCGACCUACUAGAGCAUAGGUUCGAUUUUUGAGCACCACUCGAACUCGGCACUGCACCUCUACCUCUACCACGACCUGUCGAUUACUGAAAACCCCGUGUUGGAGGUCGAACUGAUGAGGAAGAACCAGACACAGAUCCAGUUGGCUAAGCCAUACCACCACCUCCUAUAUUAGGACAAUUCCGCAUCAUAUGGCCGGGCUGUCCGCUAGAAUAGCACGCAUCAGAACCUCGACGACAUAGUCCAAAGUGGGCCUUGCCGCACUGAUCACAACGUGGUGUUGGGGGUCUCGUCUGACUAGUAUCCCUUGUGAUAUUGAGAGCCUGAUGCCCGCAAACUCUGACCUAGACCAGAAUAGGUAAAUCGAUCAUAUCAAGGCCUCUGAAACUGUGAAGGAGCACUAGCUAAAGGUGGUGCUGAACUCCUCGAAGACUCCAGGCCUGACACUGCCUCUGAAGUCAUUAGAAUACCCUGAAAAUCUCACCCUCUUAUUCUGGCCCCUAUCCUGCUCCCUAUCUUCCCUUUGCUAGCGCUUACGAUCCUCUAGGGUCUAGGCAUAAGCCUGAAUACGGGAAAUAUCCAUGCCCUCCGCCUAGGAGGCUAUCGUGCACUUAUUUAGUAGAUGUGGUCCCAACCCGUUCACGAACAUAUGCACCCUAUCACUCAUCUCAUCCACCAUAUGAGGAGCAUACAUUGCUAAAGAAUCAAACUGCAUAGUAUACUCUCGCACACUCAUAUUACCUUGUCUAAGGUUCAGGAACUUAUCAGCUCUAGCUCGUUGUAUCUCAACUGGCAAAUAGUGACGAAGAAAGGCCUCAGAAAAUUCCUUCCUCGCAGCUGAAGGGGCGUUCAGACCCCUGGAUCUCUCCCAACUAUCAUACCAAAAAACUGCUAAAUCUGGUAACUGAUAAGAAGCCAACUCUACUGCCUCUGUAUCAAUAGCAUGCCUAACCCACAGUGUACCAUGAACCUGAUCAAUAAAAGUCUGCGGGUCCUCCUUGGGGUCUGAUCUAGUAAACACUGGAGGGUCUAGAUUAAUAAAAUCACGAACUCUCGUACUAGCCGGUUUAUCAAUAACACCGGUAUUCUGCCUCUGAGCCUGAGCAGCUACCAAGCUAGUCAACAACCGCACUGAACUUUGCAUCUCCUGGUCUGUAGUGCCAGACGGCGGAAGUAGAUGAGGUAUGAGACGACAUCUCACUAUGAGCCUCAUUUUGGCCUACUCUGGCUUGAGGCAUCUGACUGGUACUUUCUCCCGCAGUUGUAUCAAGCCUUCUACUAAUUGCUUACUUCCUAGUCGAAGGUAUCACUGAAAGAAAACAAGGUGAAUAUUAGAGACGAACACUUACGACUCAACUCUACGCACGAUCUAGAUUCAGGAAGAAUGUAACAACCAUAGAUGUCAUGUAGCCUCCUGAUUAUAAAUGUGGCAUGCUACACAUCUAUAAUCAAGACUCUACUAGACACGGCUCAUAGACAACCCCUAGGACAGGCUUGCUCUGAUACCAAGUUUUUCAUGACCCAAAUUGGAAGAUCAUGACUAGACCCCGGGCCAUACUUGCCGAGCACCAACAUACAUUUUAUCUAACCUUCCUUAUUAUCUUUAAGGGCCGACAAGAUCAUUGUAAAUGGUAGAUAUGGAUCAUGAACAACAAACAAUGAAAGAUAAUAGAAUGAACAUACAUAACAUGGGAUGACAAGACUGCCAAGAAACUACAUAUAAGGUACGAGUUACCACGCUCCCAUAUACAACAAAAAUCAGCCGACAAGGCAUACGAAGUUAUACAUGAGUCGACACCUGUCUAUGGGCCUCAAAAAACAUAAGUGCUGCAACAUUGCCGGAACAGGGCCACAACAUACCUAUAAUAUCUGUAACAAAAAUGCAUACCAAGAACACGGCAAGUCCGGAGAAGGAAUCUCGCCAAUAACCGCUGAACUGGAAAGCCUACUGUGGUGGGGGAGCUGCGUCUACCUGUCUAUCAGGACCUGCAGCAUGACAUGCAGCGUCAACAAAUAUAAAGGACGUCAAUACGAAUAAAGUACUGAGAAUAUAUGGCAGGAAAGCAUAAGUAAGAACAGUAAUGUAAACAGGGAUAGAGAAUAUACAACCUAUAACAUCUGGAUACCUCUGAGGGCUACUAACAUGAAAUGCGUGAUACAUACAUAUAUAUACAUACACUUUUAAAAUAUACGCCUCUGUGGGCAUCAUCAUCAUCAUAUCGUACCCAACCGUAAUAGGCUCGGUAAAAUGUACCCGGCCACAUGGAGCUCGGUAAAACCCAACCGAUCAGUGGUUGCACAAUAGGUGACGUACCCGGCCGACUAUAGCGCGGCUUAGUAGAGUAAAAUAGAUGCAUAUAUAUAAUGCAUGUAGAACUCAUUGGAAUCAUAUUCUGAACCUUUCGGAGUGAUGUAAGGUCGAUAUUCUCUGUACUCGUUAUUAGAAAUAACUCUUCAUCAAGAAUCUUAUAAGAAUUAGGAAGUACCAACAACAUUGAUAACAUAAGAAUAAGAGAAGCAACCUCAACAUCAAUUGUUCCAUAAGAAGGGAAACAAUGUAAACUGCUAGCUUCUAAGAGUAGAGUACCUUUGGAAGCUUGUUCAUUGCAUUAUGUACAAUCGAAGUCAUGCAAAAGAAGGAAAAGGAUAGCCUCACUUACCUUGUAUAUGUACUGCCCAAUCUCAAGCUAUGCAAAUAUCACGACUCCUUAGUAUACAAUAAGAGAAAUGACACUAUUGUUAUCGUUUAAGCAUCGUAACUAUUAUGUAUCGAACACAACCUAUUUUACGAUGAAACAGACAGCACCUCCCCUAUAUAUAUGACUUCACACAAGUCAAAACAAUUACCAAACAGCCCAACAUACCCCUAUCACUUCAUACACAACACAACAACCAUAAUAGUGUCAAACAAUCCAAAAAUGUUACGACGAACGACCAACAAAUAGCCCUGCCAUUAUGUGGUGUUUCUCCACACCUUCCUCCUCUCAACUCCCUAAAAAUAGUAGCAAAAUGAGACAACCAAAUAGCAACACGAAACAGCCCACAAAUUAGUCCCACAAGUUCAGCAACUCAAAAUUAAUUUUUCAGUUUACUUAAACACGUUUGACGUGUCUUUUCAUUCAAAUUGAGAAACACAACUAAAAGUACAUAAUUAUACCCAUUAUCCAAUAAAACAACCAUGAAUUCAACUUAAAAAUAAGUUCACAACCAACCAACCAUGACACAAGAACAAACAACAUACCACUCUUUCAAAACUCGCUAGGUCUAUUCUUUACGAUCGAGUUACAACUCGCAAAUGCAUAGAUAAUGGAAAGAGAAGCAUAACCUUACCUUGUAGUGAUUAUAACCCACGAAACCUGGUCUUUCUUCAUCAAAAAUCAGUUCCUCAACGCGGCUACAAGAAGGAGAAAGAGAAACUAGCAAGUUGUCCGGACUUUUCGGCACUAGAAUCACGUCGUAACACCCGAAAUAAAUGAGUUGAUAAUCCCAUAAAAAUCCCCUCUUGGCCGACUUUGGGGCUUUUAAUUGAGUCAUCUCAUUUUGGUAAGUAGGUUAUUCACCUACUUGUCACCUACCAAUUUGCGCAGUCUCGCAAAAAUGCAAAUAUCUCUAUACUCUGUGUUGAUAAAUGGUUUAAUGUGUUGAAAACUAGACUCAUAGGUCUUCAUUUGGUGGGCAGAUCACCCCGUAAUUCCAAGUAAAUUGGGAGAAAAGCUUAGUAACAUUUGACCUAAAGUUUAAGUAAAAUUAUGAACAUAAGUUGCGACAACUUUUGUCGACUUUUGUUUCAUAACUCGUUUGACUUCAAGACUUAUGAUAAGAAUAUUAUAUGAUUCAAAUACCUUAAAACAUGACCUCUUGAGAAUAUUAGCACCCCUAGGUUUACCCAAAAAUACGGGUUACAACAUUCUUGAUUCGUUUAACUUCNNNNNNNNNNNNNNNNNNNNNNNNNNNNNNNNNNNNNNNNNNNNNNNNNNNNNNNNNNNNNNNNNNNNNNNNNNNNNNNNNNNNNNNNNNNNNNNNNNNNNNNNNNNNNNNNNNNNNNNNNNNNNNNNNCUCAAAGAUAAUCUCUUCUCAGAUUUACGUCGACUAACUUAUGGAAUGAACCGACGUACGUGAAUAUGGGUUGUAACACCGUCCAUAGCAGCAGCUGCAAGUUGGCACAUACAUCAGAUGGAUGUGUAUAAUAUCUUCCUGCAGGGGGGUCUUCAUGAUGAAGUUUAUAUGUCACUUCCUGAGGGGUUUUCUAUCCGGGGGCAGAAUAAAGGAUUGGUUUGUAGGCUAGUAAAGUCCCUAUAUGGGUUGAAGCAGGCAAGUAGAUAGUGGAAUGUGAAGUUGACAGAAGUACUAAUGAAUUCAAGCUUUACACAAAGCAGCCUUGACCAUUCCCUAUUCAUCAAAAGAAUUGAUAGACACAUAGUAGUAAUCUUGGUGUAUGUAGAUGACAUGCUAGUUGCCGGGGACAACAUCAACUUGAUUGAACAGACCAAACAAGAACUACAUUCUGCAUUUAAGAUAAAAGAUCUGGGGACUCUAAAAUACUUCUUGGGAAUAGAAUUUAGCAGAUCAGAAAAUGGAAUAGUAAUGAAUCAAAGAAAAUAUGCCUUGGAACUCAUUUGAGACAUGGGCCUAACUAGUUCAAAACCAUCAUGAACUCCUUUGGAUAACAAUAUAAAGCUAACUACUGUGGAAGUUGGCAGAGCAGGAGGGAGAACAGAUGAUGAAAUUCUGCAUGAUAAAGGUGUUUAUCAGAGGCUAAUAGGAAGAUUCCUAUAUUUGACACUAACCAUGCCGGAUAUUUAUUUUGCUGUACAAACCUAAAUCAGUUUAUGCCUUAACCUAAAAGAUCACACAUGAAUGUUGCCUUGAAAGUGAUGAGAUAUGUGAAAAGAGAACCAGGAAUAGGGAUUCUCAUGAGCAGCAGAAGAACAACCAAGCUAAAAGCAUACUGUGAUGCAGAUUGGGCAUCAUGUCCCAAUUCUAGAAAAUCAGUCACUAGUUUUUUGAUAAAACAUGGUAACUCCUUGAUAUCAUGGAAGUCAAAGAAAUAGACAACUGUCUCCAAAAGCUCAGCUGAGGUGGAGUACAGGAGCAUGGCAAGCACUGUAGUAGAAAUAAUAUGGAUCGUAAGGUUGUUCAAGGAACUGGGAGAAAACCUCAAUAUUCCAGUAGACAUCUAUAGUGAUAGUAAGGAAGCACUACAGAUUGCUGCAAAUCCAAUUUAUCACGAGCGAACUAAACAUAUAAGAUCGAUUGCUAUUUUAUAAGAGAAAAUAUACAAGCAUGGUUGAUCAAAACACAAUAUCUUGCUAUAAAGGAUAAACAAGCAUAUAUUAUGACAAAAAGGAUUGUACAAACCACAACAUGAGUUUCUAGUUGCCAAGCUGGGCGUCCUUGAUGUUUACAUACCUACUAGCUUGAGGGGGAGUAAUGAAAGUGAAGGUGUAACGUAAUGCUAGCUAGCUAUCUUGUUAAUUAUUUUCAAUUGUAACUAAUUCUCAUGUAAUUAGUUAUUAGUUAGCAUAGUUGUUAGUCUGUAGAGUUAGUGGCUUAGAUAGGACAACUAUCAAAUAAAUGUGUUGUCGGCCCUUUUUCUCGCGAAAUCGGGUUUAUGACAUUUUGGUUGGGACAACUCUUUCCUUUUUGGGAAAUGGGGUUUGCAUUUUUGAAGAGUCGCCACCUAACGAUUUAAGGUGCGUUAAGGUUCAUUUAUAACUACGUUUGGUAACCAGAGACAAUGUAAGGGCUUGAAAUUAUCCCAAGGGGAAGGUGUUAGGCACCCCUCAGGAUCCACUAAUGUGGUUUCCAGCCAAAUAGUUUUUGAGAAUUGGUACAAUUAGCAAAUAAAAAAGUAUGGCUCAAGUAGUAGAGGAUUUAAGUUUAAGAACACAGAUGUUUGAAAAGCAACUAAUGAAAAGUAAAAGUUUAAAAAGAAUUACAAUGUAAGCAUAUUUGGGAAUGUAAAGGGGGUGUCCUAGGUUUGUUUAUAAUAUGGAUCACAUUAAUGCAAUACCCGGUAUGACACUCCUCAAAGAGGGGCUACACGCGGUAUUAACGCAUCAGUCAUUAUGUCCAUAUCUAUCCUUUCCCCACCCGUGAAGGUAAUUAAAACCCGGUCUCAACCCCUAUUGCAUGCUAUUACCCGUCCUUUCCUAUUAGUCCCGGAGGAAUUUAGACUCCUAUCAUAUAAAAGGGGAUUCUAGGCAGACCCUCAAGUUUAAAGGCAAAAUGCCAAGGCGACAUAUAAUAAACAAGUAUGACUUCAAUUAAGGGGAGCAUGGAAGACAAAUGAAAGGCUCAGAUAUACCUCCACACACAGUACACAUAAACAACAUGACUCAUAUACAAUUAAGGUCUGAAUUCAGAUCCUAAGCAUGGUAUCUAAGUGAUAACAACAGAGUCAUAUUUAUAACAUAACUCAAAUAGGAAGUCCUAAUAAGGCUUGCCUACUGAUUUUAACAUGCUGACAGUUAAACAAAGCUAGUUCUGGUUUUUAUUUAAGCUAUAUUACCUAAGGCUUGCCUAGGCGUAAAAUAAUUUGCAGCAGUUACCAGAAUUAUAAAACAGUUAUUUUACCUAAAGCAUGUUGUUCUAAAUGUUUCAAGGACAUGCAGGAUUUUGACCAGUUUUACUUAAUAGGAUAAUCAAACAUGAGACUGUUUUAUGUCCUUUUCAUGCAUCAGUAGUUUAACUAGGUGUAACUAAGCGAGAUCCUAAAACAGGGUAUCUAACGUGCACAUAUGAAAAAUGCAGAAUAUGCAGAAUUCCUAGAGCAUGGUUUCUAAGUGCAAAGAGCAACAGUUUCAUGUUGAUGCUGUUAUUUAGCCUAAAGCAGGAUUUCUAAGUGAUAAAGUGAUGUCAAAUGAGAUGCUGAAAUAGUAAACCUAAGAACAUGGUAUCUAAUGCAUGACAUGCUUUGAAUAUGUUGGUCUUACACAUGGAUUCUAAUGCACAUAUAGAAAAUGUAAACCUAAGGCAUGGUUUCUACCCAUUGAUGUUGAUAACAUAUAUAACUACCCUCCCCUUUUCACUAGCUAGUCCUAAUACUUGUUUAUAACAGAUUAUUACAGACCAAUACUGAAAUGAAUUACAUAAGUAGAAAAGAAAGGUAAAAGUUACACUAUAGAGAGCCUAAAAACAGGCCCAGAUUUCCAACACCUGAUUAAGACUUCCUCUCUGAGUUAUGUAAUAAAUCACCUUAAGUGCCAAAAUUGUUUCAUAGCUUUUCUCAUGUCUGGGUGUGUUAGAGUUCCCUAAGGACCUCAAGGGAUCCCGGGCAGUGCUCACACCCAGAUUUCAUAGCCAAGACAGAGUAAGUGCAGUGUGGAAAGGCCAGCUUUCAUGUGUCCAAGUUCAGAGGGAGCUCAAUGGUCCCAAGGCAAAGCUCACACAAAAAGGGCAGAACUUAGUGGUCUAAGAGUAAGGUGAGAGUACUUGACAUAGUGAUGAAAGAUUAGUAAAGCAGUUUAGAAGUGAAAAGGUUCAGAAAUAAUUUUAAAGAUACUAGGAAUUAUCAGUUUUGAGAAGAAUGCUAGGAGUAGGAGCAGCAGUUUUGAAAUCAUUCUUUGAGAAAAGCAUACUCAUCAAACAACCCAAUUAACCAUAGAAUACCCAGAUUUACUUGACAAGCAGACUUACAAACAUGGGUGAAGGGAUUGGGAACAUAGAGGUUUGAAACCACAUAAAUAGGGAAACAUUUGACACAAUAAAUAUAUAGAAUAGCAAUGAGUCUAUUGAACAAAUCAGUCGUGGUAACAGACAUUUAAAACAUAGGGAAGAAUGCAGCAGGAUCAUGUUGAAGACAAAAGUUUUGUUGAACAAAAUUUGACAUACCAUUAGGGCCAAUAGAAUGCACUAGAAGACUAAGUAACUACAUGGUACCAGUUAAGGGAGGGGUAAGGGAACUAAGUGAUUAUGCUGGAUAAGUAUCAAAGAACUAAGUAAAGUCUGAUAUGAUGAUUACACAUAAGGCAGAAUUUAGACAUGCUUAAUAACAGCAAACAAAGAAACAAAUUGAACAACUAGUAUAGUAACAAGCAUGGAUGUAUAGGCAUGGAACACAUAAAGUUGAGUUUCAAAUUUAAACUAGAGACAUACCAGUUAAAGAAGAUAUAGAAUGUAAAAAAACAGGUGCAACUCCACUAUCUAGCCUUGGCUUUCAGCCGGCUAGGCCAACAGUCAGCACAAGUAGCAAAGAAAGAAGAGAGUUUGAAUGUAUGUGUGUAUUCUGAACUAAUUGUUCGUGUGUUAAGACUGUAGAAGAGAGUCAUUUAUAUAGUAGUUUGAAAACUGGUUAAAAAAUAAGGCAAGAAUCAAUUCUUCAGUAAUUAUAGAACUCAUUAUAAAAAGUUAGUUCGAAUCUCCCUUUAAUUAAGAGAGUCAGUGUAAACGGUAAAGAGCAGGUGGCAAGUAAGGAAAGAAAUCAUACACAGCUGGAGUAUAACAAAUAAGGAAAUAUUUCAAAAUAGUACAAGUAUAGAGCAGGUAAUUAAGGCUAGGUUCAGAAAGUUUUUUAAACUAAGGAAACAAUCAGUAAGAAUUAAGUAGCAAUGCAGACAAGGCAAUGGAAAAUUAAUUAAGGCAAGCAACUAAUCAAAUUAAGUGGAAAGGUAGGAGUCGAGAUUCAGUAGCAUAGACUAGUCGAUUAGGACCAAAUUCCCUUGAUUAAGGACACAACUCAGUAGAAAUAAGUAUCAUAGCAAAUAUGGUAAGGAAAUCAGUUAGAUUAACAGACGAAGCAAAGCUUUUAGGGUUUUGAAAGAAAAUUUUCAAUCACCAUCAAUUAAGGAAACCAGAAUCGAUCAAAAGAGAGUCAUGACUCUGCACUUUCAACAUAUAAAUAGAGGAGGUCCACAGACAUAGCAAGAAAAUAUAUUCGAAGCAUAGUCACAGAAAGAAGCAAGAGAUGAACAAACAAAGUGAGCAUAGUCACACAGAAGCGACAUAAGUAGGCUAGGGAUUCAGGAAAACAUAUUCGAAAUAGGGUAAUCACAGGACUUCAAGUAAGCAGGCUAACACACAGAAACGAAGUAAAGAAAGCAUGUUAACCCUCAUAGAAGCAAAGUAAGGAAAAUCAUGCCAACAUUCAUAGAAACAAAGUAAAGAAAAUCUCUAAAAAAUAAGGCUUUUAACAGAGUCAAGUUAAAAGCAGUAAGAGCACAAAAUCGGUCAAAACAAAUAAGGAAAAAGAUUUAAUCAUAACGAAAUCAGUUAGAACAUGCGUAAAAGAACUCCUAGAAACCUUAGUUUUAGAAAAGAAUGACUAAAAUCGAAAUAGUAAGUUAAAACAGGAGAUUUUUAAAGGAAAACGCUUAAUAAUACUCGAAUCACCUCAGAUCUAUAAAGAUCUGAGAAGAAUCGAACAGUAGCGAACUAGGGUUUUCAGAAAAAUAGUAGAGAUGAAGAGAAUCGGUUAAAAACUCAUGGAUUCAAACGAAAAAAACAAGAGGAAAUCCUUUCUUACAAAUGAAAAUGGCUGGAGGCAGGCCANNNNNNNNNNNNNNNNNNNNNNNNNGUUAGGGUGAGUUGAUAGAGAAUUUGGAGAUGAGAGAGUUUGAGGGCGGCUGUCUCUGAAUUGUGAGACUAGGGUUAGGGGUCGAGUGAAAUUAAAAAGGAAAGGGUGCGUUUGGACCGUUGAUCUCCCAGAUCAACGGUCGAGAUUAAAAAGGGUAGGUGAGUUCCGGGUUUGGGUAAGAGUUAAUAGGGUAUGGGUCAAGUGAUUCGGGUGUGAAAUUGGGCUGGAAAAGGGUCCAAUUUUGGCUAUAAUUGAAAGCCAAAUUUGGCUGUUAUUUAAAUAGCCAAUUUUCCCCCAUUCAAUUUAAAAAUAAUAGGUAAUUUUUGGAAAAUAAAUUAAGGUGCCAAAAUGAUUUAAAAUACAUAAUUAACAAUUUAAAAAUACAGGGUCCAAUUUUAUGCAUAUAGAACAUAAUUAAAUCUUAAAAGGGCUAAUAUUGCAAUUAUGUGCAAUUUAGCUUUAAAAAUACUAAAUGUAAUUAUAAAAAUAUAUAAAAAUUACCUUAGUCAUAUAUUGGCAUAAAUAUAGAAAUCCAAUAGAUGAAUUAUCAAAACAAUAAUUUUGGAAAUAAUUAUUGGAGAUUUUAUGGAUAAAAGCGAAGAAAAUAAAUCAAUUUAAGACUUUAAAAUUAUGGAGAAAAUAAUAAAAACCUUGGAUAUGCUUAUAUAUGCAUAUAUAUGCUAUUGUGAAGGUAUUUUGCAUAUUUAAAAUGUAUAGGAAAAAUUUGGGUAUCAACAUGUGUAUAUAAUUAGAUAGACACCCACACUAACUGUAAGCUUUCUUUUUUAUACUGACAUUAGAAAGCAGAGCACUUUGCACAAUCUCUCUUCCAUGUUCAUUGAUUUGAUCUCCAUAAACUCAGCUAGGAUUCGAAUCCUAAAUCACUUUAAAAACCAAAUAAUGGAGACUUAAUACAAACAACAAAAUCAAGAAACUCAGUUCUGAUUAGAAGGACAUCAAUAACCGACACGGACAAACAUAACAGAAUCGUCAUAUCUAACAUGGACAUUACUAAUUGAAAUAUUGAGAUUUCUAUUUAUAGUAGCAAUUAGUGACCGAAGCCAAGAAAUUCCAGCAGGUAGCUGUAAAUGGAAAAAGUAAUACUAAAUUUCCAAGAAACUCAAUGCCUGAUUUGCAAGCGGCGAAUAACAAACAAAGGUAGAGAGUUUGCCAAUGUAAGUAAAUAUUAUAAAGCAAUUGAUCAGAUACUGUAGUUGGACACGAAUUCAAAGAAUAAGUCCAAAAGAGGGAUGGAAUGCUAUUUUUGGUAUAGAUGUUCUUUAAGAAUAUCAUGUUCAUUUAAAGAUGCUAACUAUCAUAGUAAAGAAGCAACUAAAUGGUGCUCAAUGAAUUAUUAUAAUACAUAACAAGGAAAAGGCCAAAAUCCCUUUGAUUUCCUUUUCUCAGGGGCCUCCACUCUCCAACCCUUCAACAUAACUGCUUGACUCAGCUGCUUGGGAAAUCAUUGUUUGCUAAUCUUUGUCAUUUAUUUCAGUUUUCAGCAAUAUAAAAGCUGUUUGAUGAGGACAUUAAGCAGGAAACACCAAACAUAUUGAGCUUUAGAUUCAAGAAAUUAGCCAGGCAUAAUUAGAUGAUUCACAUCCUCUCGUAUGUAAUGACAAUUGAAAUAUGUGUGAACUUAUAGGUAUGUACACAUAAGUUGAUACAUUUCGACGUCUGAUUUGACACCAAUCAAUACCCACGAUAUGCACCACUACUACCUUAAAAGAUGCUUACCUACAUUUUGUAAUUUUCACUGUCUCGUAUUAUUUAAUUUUACACUGCGAUUCAACCUACCUGAAAUUAUUUAUUGAGCCACUAAACUUUUUUGUAAAUUACAAAUUAGGCCACUAUAGCAUGCGGUUCGCGUUCCACGCCUUUAUAAAUUCACCUCCCCUGCACUCCCGCCCAUUUACCUACAUUCUCAAAAAAAAAUUAAAAAACUUCAGCUCCAAUUCUCCAAAUGCCCCUCUCUCUCUCUCUCGCUCUCUCCAUCAACUCUCAGUUCUCUUUCAACAUGAAUUCGGUAAACUAUGGUGAGAAUAUCAUAGAAUGCUUUUUCAUUUCAACUAGGACUUUGAUUAAUUUUUACUUUGAUUUUGUUAUUGAAAUUUACAGAUUCUGGCUAAUAACUUGAAGGAAACAUACAUUACAGAGUAUGAGUCUCUUAUGUUCUGCAGUGUUUUCUAUUUUUACUGAUAAAUAGAGAAUGAUUCUCAUUUCAACUACUCUAAUCCACUUUGUGUCACGACCCUAAACUCAAACCUGUUGUGAUGGCUGGCCCCUAUCGAUGGUACUAGGCCAGCCGACUUUCACAAUACAUCAAUAAUUCAUUCAAAGAUGUGCUAAAAAGCCUUUUUAUAAUAGAAUUUUCAUAAAAAGAAACAAGAGUUGAACUCAAUAUAGAAAUGCGGGAAAAAAGCCCCAAACAUCGGGGUGUCACUAAGUCAUGAGCAUCUAAUAAAACUGGUCUGACAAUAACAAGACUAACAUAGUCUGAAAUCCAAAAUACAACUCAAGGAAAGAUAGGAAAGAAGAAAGCGAGGCUGCGAACGCCGGGCAGAUACCUCGCCUCCAAUAACCAGCUAUGAGGACUAUCAGCAAUCUUCGCAACAAAAACUUCUGGAUCUACACAUGAGGCGCAGGGAGUAACGUAAGAACAACAACUUAGAAAGUAACAGAAAUAAAUAAGGAUCUGAGAAGUAGUGACGAACUUUGUACAUCAAUAAUGAAAUCAUAUACUGCCCCUCGGGCAAUCAUCACUCAGUCUUCCCAAUCACUCCAACCUCACAGCCACUCAUUCCUCACAAUCUCUCAGCACUUGGCACUCACACUCAGUAGGUACCUGCACUCACUGGGGGUGUAUACAGACUCCGGAGGGGCUCCUCAGCCAAAGUUGUAUAUCAAUGCCAAUCAUGGCAGAAUCAAUGAAACAUACUGCGGCGUGCAACCCGAUCCCAUAAAUGUCCUCAAAAUCAGGCCUUCGGCCUCACUCGGUCAUCAAUCUCUCCAGUCUCUUGGGCUCUCAGAAAUCAAGAUAAUCAGCCCAAAGAACAAUGACAUGAUGCAUCAAAUAGAAUAACAAAGGCUGGGAUAUGAUAUAAGAAUGCAUGAACAUGAUUGAGUACGGAAUAUCAAUGAAAAUAGUGAGAUGACAGCAAGAAACGACCACUAAGGGUCCCAACAAUACCAGCAUAAAGCCUAAACAUGGUAUUUAGCAUGAUUUACAGUUAAUCUUUCUAUAACAAAUAGGGAGCAUAUAGCUAACAACAGGUUGUUCAACUUUACAGUUUCUACGGGACGGACCAAGUCACAAUCUCCAUCGGUGCACGCCCACAAAAGCGUCACCUAGCAUGUGCGUUACCUCCAAAUAGUCACAUGACACAAAAUCCGGGGUUUCAUACCCUCAAAACCAGAUUUACAACUGUUACUUUCCUCAAUACGAGCAAAUUCCUACUCCGCAAUGCCUUUGCCUCUCGAAUCAGCCUCCAAACAUCCCGAAUCUAGCCACAAGUAAUACAACAUAAUCAAUAAAGGCUAAAUGGAUCAAUUCCACAAGAAAACUACUAAAUUAGAGCCAAAAUCUGAAAUCGACUCAAACUCGGCCCCCGAGACCAUGUCUCAAAAUCCGACAAAAGUGACAAAACUCGAAAGCCAUUCACUCACGAGUCUAACCAUACUAAAUUCAUAAAAAUCCAACUCCAUUUGACCCUUCAAAUCCUCAAAUCAAACUAUCCAAAAUCCCAAGUCUAAAUCUCCCAAAUUUCACCUCAAAAACUCACCAAUUAGUUGCAAAAUCAGUGGGGAAACACCAUUAUUGAAGAUAAAUAAGCACAAGGACCUUACCUCAGUGAUUGCUUCAAAAUCCCUCUAAAAAUCCCCAAAAUCCAAGCUCAAAAUGAUGAAAAUCGUGAAAAAUCCCUAAGUGUUCUAUUUAUAUCUUCUGUCCAGCAAAACCGCAUCUGCGGUCCUUUUGUCGCUUCUGCGACCCCGCCCUUCGGAAAUUCCAUCGCUGGUGCGGAUCCCAAUUAAGCUCUCAGAGUCCGCAUCUGCGAUCAAACACACGCACCUGCGGCCCCCUCUCGCUUCUGCCAUCCUUGCCUUCUUACUCCUUUUUCGCAUCAGCGCUUCUCCUUCCGCAUCUGCGCUUACGCAGAUGCGUACCAACCCUCGCACCUGUACUUCCAGUCCAAACUACCCUUGCCCGCAUCUGCGAGCACCUCUUUGCUUCUGUAGGACCGCACCUGCGGGCUCCCCAUCGCAGGUACGAAAACACCAAAACCAGGCUAACUUCAACAAUCCUUCAACUUUAAACUUGUUCCGUUAAUCAGCCGAAAUCAACCCGAGGCCCUCCAGAUCUCAACCAAACAUACCAACAUAUCCCAUAACAUCAUAAGAACUUAAUCGAACCUUCGAAUCACUCAAAACAACAUCAAAACACCAAAUUACCUCCGGAUUCAAGCCUAAGAACUUCUAAACUUCUGAUUUCCAAAAACGAUGUCAAAACCUAUCAAACCACGUCCGAAUGGCCUCAAAUAUUGCACACAAGUCAGAAAAGACACCACGAACCUACUCCAACUUCCGAAAAUCCGAUCCGACCCCGAUAUCAAAAUUUCUACUACCGGCCAAAAUCGCCAAAAUUCUAACUUUCACCAAUUCAAGCCUAAUUCUACCACGGACCUCCAAAUCACAUUUCAGACGCGCUCCUAAGUCCAAAUUCACCUAAAAGAGCUAACAGAACCAUCAAAAUUCAAAUCCGAGAUCAUUUACACAUAAGUCAACAUUCGGUCAACUUUUUCAACUUAAGCUUCUAAAUAAGAGACUAUGUGUCUCAAUUCACUCCGAAACCACUUCGGACCUGAACCAACUAACCCGAUAUAUGAUAAUAUAGAUGUGGAACACAAAAGAAGUAGGAAAUAAGGGAACAUGGCUAUAACUCUCGAAACGACCGUUCGGGUCGUUACAUCCUCCUCCUCUUAAACAAACAUUCGCCCUCGAACGGGUCUAGAAACAUACCUGGAGCCUCAAAUAGGUGUGGGUAUAUGCUCCACAUCUCUGGAUCGGUCUCCCAAGUAGCAUCCUCCACAAGCUGACCUCUCCAUUUCACCUUCACUGAAGCUAUAUCCUUUGACCUCAACUUUCGAAUAUGAUACCCCAAAAUAGCUACCGGCUUCACAUCAUAAGUCAAAUCACCAUCCAACUGAACCGUGCUAAAUCCAAAACAUGGGAUGGAUCACCAAUAUACUUUCGAAGAAUAGAAACAUGAAAUACUGGAUGCACACUCGAUAAGCUAGAUGGCAAAGCAAGCUCAUAGGCCACCUCCCCAAUCCUCCGAAGCACCUCAAACGGCCCAAUAAACAGAGGGCUCAACUUGACCUUAUUUCCAAAUCUCAUAACACCAUUCAUAGGUGAAACCUUUAGUAAGACCUUCUCCCCAACCAUGUAAGACACAUCAUAGACCUUUCUGUCAGCAUAACUCUUUUGUCUCGACUGCGCCAUGCGAAGCCGCCCUGAAUCAAUUUCACCUUGUCCAAUGCAUCCUGAACCAAGUCUAUACCCAAAAGCCUAACCUCACCCGGCUCAAACCAACCCACUGGAGAUCUACGCCACCUCCCAUAUAAAGCCUCAUACGGAGCCAUCUGAAUACUCGACUGAUAAUUGUUGUUGUAAGCAAACCAGCGAGUGGAAGAAACUGGUUCCGUGAACACCCAAAAUCAAUGAAACAAGCACAUAGCAUGUCCCCCAGUAUCUGAAUAGUGCGCUCAGACUGUCCGUCCAUCUGAGGGUGAAAUGUUGUGCUCAACUCAACCUGAGUGCCCAACUCUCACUUCCCGGCCCUCCAAAACUGCGAUGUAAACUGAUGCCUCUGUCUGAAAUGAUGGAAAAUGGCACCCCAUAAAGGUGAACAAUCUCUCUGAUGUAAAUCUCAGUCAACCGCUCUGAUGAAUAGGUAGUGCUCACAGGAAUGAAGUGUGCGGACUUGUUCAGCCGAUCCACAACCUUCCUCAAAGUCCAUCGAACUUCAUCGCAUUGAACUUCCUCAAAGUCCAUGGGAGCCCAACUACGAAAUCCACGGUGAUCCGCUCUCACUUCCACCUUUGGAAUCUCUAUCUUCUGAAGCAAGUCACCCGGUCUCUAAUGCUCAUAUUUCACCUGCUAACAGUUGAGACACUGAGCUACAAAUCCAACUAUAUCUUUCUUCAUUCUCCUACACUAAUAGUGUUGUCUCAAAUCCUGAUACAUAUUCACGGCACCCGGAUGGACAGAAUACCGCGAACUAUGGGCCUUCUCAAGAAUCAACUCCCGCAGCCCAUCCACAUUGGGCAUACAUAUCCGGACCCGCAUCCUCAAUACCCGGUAUCACCAAUAGUCACAACUCUGGCAUCACUGUGUUGAACCCUGUCCUUGAGGACAAGCAAAUGAGGAUCAUCAUACUGACGCUCUCUGAUGCGAUCGAAUAAGGAAGAUCGAGAAACCACACAAGUUAGGACCCGACUAAGCUCUGAAAUAUCCAAUCUCACAAACAGAUUGGCCAAGGCCUGAACAUCAAUUGCAAGGGGUCUCUCACCAACAGGAAGGAAUGCAAGACUACCCAUACUCACUGCCUUUCUUCUCAAGGCAUCGGCUACCACAUUGUCCUUUCUCGGAUGGUACAAAAUGGUAAUAUCAUAGUCCUUUAGCAGCUCCAACAAUCUCCACUGCCUCAAAUUGUGAUCCUUCUACUUGAACAAGUGCUGGAGGCUACAAUGAUCAGUAAACACCUCACAAGACACACCAUAGAGAUAAUGCCUCCAAAUCUUCAUUGCGUGAACAAUGGCAGCCAACUCCAAAUCAUGAACAAGGCAGUUCUUCUCAUUGGGCUUCAACUAACGUGAAUCAUAAGCAAUCACUCUACCCUCCUACAUCAAAACACACCCAAUGCCAACCCAAGAAGCAUCACAAUAUAUUGUAUAAGAGCCUGAAGCUGAUGGUAAAACUAACAUUGGAGCUAUGUCAAGGCAGUCUUGAGUUUCUAAAAGCUCGCCCCAUACUCAUCCGACCACCUGAAAGGAGCACCCUUUGGGUCAAUUUGGUCAAGGGCCAUGUAAUAGAGGAGAAACCCUAAACGAACUAACGGUAGUAGCUAGCCAAACCAAGAAAGCUCUGAAUCUUUGUGGCUGAGGACGGUCUGGGCCAACCCUGAAUCGCCUUUAUCUUCUUCGGAUCAACUUGAAUACCCUCACUGGACACCACGUGUCCCAAGAAUGCUAUAGAACUGAGCCAAAACUCACACUUUGAGAACUUGGCAUAAAGCUUCUCCUCCCUCAGUCGUUGUAAUACAACCCUCAAAUGCUCGGCGUGCUCCUCCUAGCUAUGAGAGUACACCAUAAUAUCAUCAAUGAAUACAAUGACAAACGAGUCGAGAUAAGGCCGAAACACACUGUUCAUCAAAUGCAUGAAUGCUACUGGGGCAUUGGUCCACCCAAAAGACAUCACGAGGAACUCAUAAUGGCCAUAAUAGGUCCUGAAAGCUGUCUUACGAAUGUCCGAGUCCCUAAUCUUCAGCUGGUGAUACCCUGACCUCAAAUCGAUCUUGGAGAACACCCUCACUCCCUGAAGUUGGUCAAACAAACCUCAAGACAAGGCAAAGGAUACUUGUUCUUGAUUGUGACUUUGUUCAAUUGCUUGUAAUCAAUGCACAUUCUCAUAGUGCCAUCCUUUUUCUUCACAAAUAGAAUUGGUGCACCCCAAGGUGACACACUAGACCGAAUAAACCCCUUAUUAAGGAGUUCCUGAAGCUGCUCCUUUAAUUCUUUUAACUCCACCGGUGCCAUACGAUACGAUGGAAUAGAAAUAGGCUGAGUGAUCGACACCAAAUCAAUACCAAAGUCAAUAUCCCUAUCCGGCGCCAUGCUCGGUAGGUGUGCAGGAAACACAUCCGAAAAAUCUCACACCAUCGGAACUGAAUCAAUAGUAGGAGUCUCUGCACUAACAUCCCUCACAAAGGAUAAAUAAGAAAGACAACCCUUCUCAACCAUCCACUGGGCCUUCAAGAACGAAAUCACUCUACUGGGAACAUAAUCCAAUGAACCUUGCCACUCAAUCCGUCGCAACACCGGCAUAACCAACGUCACCGUCUUAGCGUGACAGUCCAGAAUAGCAUGAAACAGAAACAACCAAUCCAUGCCUAAUAUCACAUCAAAGUCAACCAUACUACGGAGUAACAAAUCAACUCUAGUCUCUAGUUCCCCAAUCGUCACUACACACGACCGGUAUACAUGUUCCAUAACAAUAGUAUUGCCUACCGAUAUAGAUACACGAACAGAUGAAACUAGAGACUCACAGGGCAUGUCCAGAUAAUAAGAAAAAUAUGAUGACACAUAUGAAUAGGUGGAACCAGGUUCAAAUAAUAUAGAAGCAUCUCGAUGACAUACAGAGAUAAUACCUGUGAUCAUUGUGUUUGAAGCAAUGGAAUAUGGUAUGGCAGAGAGUGCAUAGAAAUGGGCCUGACCACCACCUGAUCGACCUCCCCUUCUAGGGCGACCCCUAGCUGACUGAACUCCACCCUGAGCUGGCUGGGCGAGUAGUGAAGUAACUGAGGCUGAAGAUGCAGCCUGACUCCUCUGUUGUGCUGGACCUUCGUGACAAUGAGGACACUGCCUCCACACAUGCCCAAACUCCCCACACUCAAAACAACUCCCUGGUGCUGGUGACGGGGACUGAAGGGAGCCCCGAGCACCGGGAUAAUUGGUAGAAGAACCUGGCAUAGAGGAGACCUGAACCGAUGGAGCACGGGACGAACUCUAGGUUGGGAGGGUACUGAGUGAUGAGUGGCCCUGAUGAGAAUUGUGAGAACUAUGGCACGAUGAUGUACCAAGGUGAACUUGGUAGGCCGUCUGAGCAUGCCUGUAAGGAUGACCUCUGCUGUGGUUAAACUGACCCCCAGAAGGAACACCACCAAAGCUACCUGAACCACGAGACCUCUUGGCCUCCCUCUCAACCCGCUCCAGGCUACGAACCGACUCUAUCUCCCGAGUAAUGCCAACAACCUCAUCAAAGGUAGCAGCACCAAAUACCCUCUCUCUGGUCAUAAGCACCUGCAACUAAAAUGUGAGGCCAUCAAUGAACCUCCUGAUCCUCUCCCUGUCUGUGGUAACCAACUAAACAGCAUGACGGGCCAACUCAGAAAAUCUCACCUCGUACUACAUCAUCUUCAUGUCAUCCUCAUGCAACCUCUCGAACUGCUUGCAUAGCUCCUCUCUACGAGAAAGAACUACUACCAUGUAAGUGGCGCUACACCAACCGGCCUAUGACUCUCAUAAGCCUCCCACCAAGUGAAGGCAGCUCCAGUGAUCUGAAAUGUAGUGAAUGAGACCCCACGGAUCUCCAGAAUACCAGCUGUACGGAGAAUCCUCUGACACUUGUCCAAGAAACCUUGGGCAUCCUUGCCCUCUGUACCGUUGAAAGUUGGAGGCUAGAGACUCCCAAACCUCUCCAAUCUAUGCUGCUCAUCAUCAGGCAUGACUGGAACCACAUAAUCCUGAGCAGGUACAAUCGGCUGGGCUAGUGGUGCCCCCGGUGUCUGGAGUCCCUGUACCACCUACUUUGGGUACGGCCGGCAGGAGUCUGAGUACGUUCCCCCACCUGGGAAGUGGCUGCUGUGAUAGAAACAAAGACCGCUUGAGCAAGACUGGUGCACAUUGUCAUAAUUUGAGCUAAGAUUUCCAAAAGAUCUAGGAUCACGAAGGGCACAGCUGGUGCCUAAGCUAGUCCCGCUAGUGUAUCCACAACUGGGACUUGAUCCUGAACUCGAGCAACUGGUAGGUUUGCAGUUGCUACCCUAGCUGUUGUGCGGGCUACACCUCUGCCCCUACCACGACCUUGACCUCGAUCGCGACCUCGGCAUCUCGCGGCCCUGACUGGUGGCACUAGUUGGUUGUCCGUCCUGCCCAGUAGCAUGUGUCCUCACCAUCUAUGAGAGAAUAGAAUAACAGAAGUUUAGUUACCAGUAUCAACAGAUUUGCACAAUAAAAAUUCAAGAAUGUGAAGUUUCCUAAGGGUUCUGCAGCCUCUCAAAGAUAAGUACAAAUAUCUCCGUACCGAUCUGCAAGACUGUACUAAACCUGCUCAUGACUCGUGAAACCUAUGUAACCUAGGUUCUGAUACCAACUUGUCAUGACCCUAAACUCAAACCUGUCGUGAUGGCACCUAUCGAUGGUACUAGGCCAGCCGACUUUCACAAUACUUCAAUAAUUCAUUCAAAGAUGUGCUAAAAAGGCCUUUUUAUAAAAGAAUUUUCAUAAAAAGAAACAAGAGUUUAACUCAAUAUAGAAAUGCAGAAAGAAAGCCCCAAACAUUGGGGUGUUCACUAAGUCGUGAGCAUGUAAUAAAACUGGCCCGAUAAUAAUAAGACUAACAUAGUCUAUAAUCCAAAAUACAACUCAAGGAAAGGGAUGGAAGAAGAAAGCAAGGCUGCGAACGUCGGGCAGCUACCUCGCUAUCUCCAAUAACCAGCUACGAGGACUAUCAGCACUCUCCGCGAUGAACAACUCCUGGAUCCGCACACGAGGCGUAGGGAGUAACGUGAGUACCAACUCAGUAAGUAACAGAAAUAAAUACGGAACUGAGAAGUAGUGAUGUGCUAUGCAAAUACAGUUCAUUUCAUAAAAUUCAGUAAAGUGUAGGCAUGCUUUACAUCCAAAGUUUAGGUCAAAUCAAUUUGUUUAAGUCAAAUUUAGGUAAAGUUAGAUAAAAUAUCUUUCAACAGUUCUCAAACACAAGGACAUAAGGCAACUAUGUGCAUCAAUAAUGAAAUCAUAUACUUCCCCUCGGGAAAUCAUCACUCGGUCCUCCCAAUCACUCCACCUCACAGCCACUAAUUCCUCACAAUUGCUCGGCACUCGGCGCUUGCACUCAGUAGGUAUCUGCGCUCACUGGGGGUGUGUACAGACUCCGGAGGAGCUUCUUCAGCCCAAGCGCUAUAUUAAUGCCAAUUAUGGCAGAACCAAUAAAACAUGCUGCGACAUGAAGCACGAUCCCAUAAAUGUCCUCACAAUCAGGACUUCGGCCUCACUAAGUCAUCAAUCUCUCCAAUCUCUCGUGCUCUCAGAAAUCAAGAUAAUCAACCCAAACAAUAAUGACAUGAUGCAUCAAAUAGAAUAACAGAGACUGAGAUAUGAUAUAAGAAUGCAUGAACAUGACUGUGUACGAAAUAUCAAUAAAAAUAGUGAGAUGACAGCAAGAAAUAACUACUAAGGGUCCCAAUAAUACCGACAUAAAGCCUAAACAUGGUAUCUAGCAUGAUUUAUAGUCAAUCUUUCUAUAACACAUAGAGAGCAUAUAGCUAACAACAGGUUGUUUAACUUUAAAGUUUCUAUGGGACGAACCAAGUAACAAUCCCCAUCGGUGCACACCCGUCAUCUAGAAUGUGUGUCACCUCCAAAAUAGUCACAUGACACAAAAUUCGAGGUUUCAUACCCUCAAGACCAAAUUUACAACUGUUACUUACCUCAAUCUGAGCAAAUUCCUACUCCGUAAUGCCUUUGCCUCUUGAAUCGGCCUCCAAACAUCCCGAAUCUAGCCACAGGUAAUACAACACAAUCGAUAAAGGCUAAAGGGAUCAAUUCCACAAGAAAACUACUUAAUUAUAGCCAAAAUUCGAAAUCGACUCAUACUCGGGCCUCGGCCCCAAGUCUCGAAAUCUGACAAAAGUCACAAAACUCGAAAGCUCAUUCACUCACGAGUCUAACCAUACUAAAUUCAUCAAAAUCCAACAUCAUUUUCCCCUCCAAAUCCCCAUAACUCACUCUCCAAUUCUCAAGACCUAAUCUCCCAAAUUUCACCUCAAAAACUUACCAACUAGGUGUAAAAUCAGUGGGGAAAUGCCAUUAUUGAAGAUAAAUAAGCACAAGGACCUUACCUCUGUGAUUGCUUCAAAAUUAGUCUCAAAAUCCCAAAAAUCCGAGCUCAAAAUGAUGAAAAUGGUGAAAAAUCUCGAAGUGUUCUAUUUAUACCUUCUGUCCAGCAAAACCGCAUCUGCGGUCUCUUUGUCGCUUCUGCGACACCGGACCUGCGGAAAUUCCAUUGCAGGUGCGGAUCCUACUUAAGCUCUCAGAGUCCCCAUUUGCAGUCAAACACACGCACCUGCGGGCCCCGCCCACUUCUACGAUCUUGCCUUCUUACACCUUUUCCAUAUCUGCACUUCUCCUUCUGCAUCUGUGCUUAUGCAGAUGCGUACCAACAGUAACGACCCAGCCGGUCGUUUCAUGAAUUAUAGCCCUAUUUACCCCAUUUCUGCUUCCUUUUGUUUUCUUCAACAGUAUUGUAUUGUAUCGUGUCGGUUGGUUCGGGUCCGGAGUGGUUUCAGAGUGGGAUGAGACACUUAGUCUCCUAUUUAAAAGCUUAAGUUGAAAAAAUCAACCGGAUGUUGACUUAUAUGUAAACGACCUCAGAUUUGAAUUUUGAUGGUUCUGUUAGCUUCGUUAGGUGAUUUUUGACUUAAGAGCACAUCCGGAAUGUGAUUUGGAGGUCCGUGGUAGAAUUAGGUAUGAAUCGGCGAAAGUUGGAGUUUUGGUGAUUUUGGCCGGUAGUGGAAAUUUUAUAUCGGGGUCAGAAUGGAAUUUCAGAAAUUAGAGUAGGUUCGUGGUGUCAUUUCUGGCUUGUGUGCAAAAUUUAGGGUCAUUCGGACGUGAUUUGAUAGGUUUCGGCGUUGUUUGUGAAAUUUAAAAGUUUAGAAGUUCUUAGGCUUGAAUCCUAGAGUAAUUCGAUGUUUUGAUUCUGUUUUGAGCCUUCUGAAGGUUUGACCAAGUUUGUAUGUUGGUAUAUGUCUUGUUAGUAUGUUUGGUUGAGGUCUCGAGGGGCUCGGGAUUAUUUCGUAUGGUUAACAGAGAGUUUAGAACUUGGAAAAUACAGCUAAAGCUGCUGGUUCUGUGUCAACCGCACCUGCGGAGUGGGAACCGCAGAUGCGGAAGUGGAGCGCAUAUACGAGAUAUUGCCUGGGACGGAAUAAUUACAAAAGCAGGCAGGGCCCGCAGGUACACAUCCGCAGGCGCGAUUGUUUAACAGCAGAUGCGGACUUUGGGUUAGUAAGUGAGAUCCGCACCUGCGAUGAGAAAUCCGCAGGUGCGGCGUCGCAGAAGCGUGAUGUUGACUGCAGGUGCGGUUUCGCUGGGCAGAAAGUAUAUAAAGGAGACUUCGCGAAUUUUGCUCAUUUCCACCAUUUUUGAAAACGGGUUUUGGAGCUUUUGGAGUGAUUAUAAAGGGAGAUUCAAGGGGUUUCAGUGAGGUAAGUUGCUUGAGCUCUAGUACUCCUAUCUAUGGUGUUUUCCCGUUGUUCAAUCAAUUAAUUAGUGGAAAUUAGGGGUGAAAAUGAGGGGUUAGGGCUUGGGAUUUUGGAGAGUUGAUUGGAGGAUUUGAGAGACCAAAUGGAGUCGGAUUUUGAUAAAUUUUGUAUAUAUAGACUCGUGAGUACAUGAACUUUCUAGUUUUGUGACUUUUGUCAGAUUUUGAGAUGUGAGCCCGGGGCCGAGUUUGAGUGAAUUUCAGUAUUUGUUUUGUCCAACUAAGUAAUAUUUCUUGUGGAAUUGGUUCCUUGGCCUAUAUUGAUCGCAUUGUAUUGCUUUUGGCUAGAUUCGGGACGUUUGGAGGCCAGUUCGAGAGGGAAAGGCAUCGCGGAGCAGGAUUUUGCUCGAAUUGAGGUAAGUAAUGGUUAUAAAUCUGGUCCUGAGGGUAUGAGACCCCGGAUAUCAUGUCGUAUGACUAUUUUGGAGGUGAUACACAUUCUAGGUGACGGGCGUGUGGGUGUGCACUAUAGGGAUUGUGACUUGGUCCGUCCCGUGAGACUGUGGAAUCAAUUAGCCUAUUGUUUAAUACAUGUUCCCUCUGUUUUCAUGGAAAUUGACUAUACUUCAUGCUAGAAAUCACCUAUCUUUGUUGAGACCCAUGAGGUCGUGUACUUACUGAAUUACCUGCUACUUGUUGUUUUGUUCUCAGUCGUGAUAUUACUUGUGUAUUUUACAUCCAUCCCUUCAUAUUUUAUCAUUGAUACAUGUUAUUAUCCUCGUUUGGGCUGUAUUAUAUGUUUUCUGAGAGCCCGAGGGACUGGUGAGAUUGGUGAGUGAGAUAGGGCCUAAGUGCCGAGCUAAGAGCUAUAUUAGUGUAUAUGGAUAGGGUUGCACGCCGCAACGAGCCUCAGGGCUAUAUAUGUAUAUUAGAUCGGGUUGUACGCCGCAAUGAGCCUUUAGCCUGAUUCUUUAUAUUGGAUCGAGUUUCACGCCGCAACGAGCCUUAUGACUGUUUAUAUAUUGGAUCGGGCUAUAUGUCGCAGCGAUAUAGCGCUUGGGCUGAAGGAUUCCCUCUAGAGUCUGCACACCCCUAGUGAGCGCAUGUACCUAUUGAGUGUGAUUAUUAAGGGCUGAGAACCCAAUGGUUGAGAUGUUGAGUUGAGCGGAGUGAUUGUGCCCUUGAGAGACUGUACUUGCUUUCUGUUAAUUGUUGCACUUAGUUGUUAUUUGUCCUUGUUGUACAAAUUUCUGGAGAACUUGAUACUUGGUUUACUUGUGCACGAACUGAUGUGAUCUAAAUUGAAGAAUUUUAAAAUAUGAUUGUUCUUACUUGAAAGAUAUUGAGUAACUGUAUUUGCAUAGCUCGUCACUACUUCUCAGUUCCUUUUUUGUUUCUUUUACUUACUGAGUUGGAAGUACUCAUGUUACUCUGUACCUUGUGUGUAGAUCCAGGUGAGACUGGUCGCAGGGGCCGUUAAGCUUGUGCGUAGUUGACUGCUCGGAGAUCUACGAGGUAGCUACAAGCGUCCGCAACCCUUGGCUCUCCUUCCAUCAUUAUCUUUCUUCCUGUUUUAUAGAAAUUGACGGAUUAUUGUAAACCUUGAUUCUCUAAAAGUUGUAGAUGCUCAUGACUUAGUGACACCCCGAUGUUGGAUCUUUUUCUAAUAUGAAAUUUCAGUAUGAAAAGGGCUUUUAUCCAUCUUAAGGAAAUAUCGAAUUGUUUUUGAAAGGUGUCGGCUUGCCUAGUUCCACGAUAGGCGCCAUCACGAUCGGGUUUUGUUUUGGGUCAUGACAAGUUGGUGUCAGAGCCUAGGUUACAUAGGUCUCACGAGUCAUGCGCAGGUCUAGUAGAGUCUUGCGGAUCGGUACAGAGACAUUUGUACUUAUCUUCGACAGGCUGCAAAAUCCUUAGGAAACUUCACAUUCUUGAAAUCUUAUCGUGCGAAUAUGUUGAUAUUGGUAACUAAUUUUUUGUUAUUCUAUUCUCUCAUAGAUGGUGAGACACGUGCUACCGGUCAGGAUGGACAGCCACCAGUACCACCAGUUAGGGCCGUGAGGGCUGAGGUGGCGGUCGAGGCCAUGGUAGGGGCAGGGGUGUAGCCCGCAUAGCAGCUAAGGAAGCACCUACAGAUCAACCAGCCACCCUAGUUCAUGAUCAGGUCCCAGUUGUGGAUGCACCAGCAGGACCAGCUUAGGCACUAGCUGUGCCUAUUGUGACUCCGUCUUUAGGAGACCUUAGCUCAGAUUCUGAUCGUGUGCACCAGUCUUGCUCAGUUAGUCUUUGUUACUACUACAACAGCUACUUCCCAGGCUAGGGGAGGCACUCAGACUCCCGCCGCCCGUACACCCGAGCAGGUUGUUCAAGGACUUCAGACAUCGGGGGUACCACCAGCCCAGCCGGUUGCACCUGCUAAGGAUUAUGUGGUUCUAGUCAUGCCUGAUGACGAGCAACGUAUGUGUCGUAGUCCCGCAGAGAGGAGCUACACAGAUAGUUCAAGCAGUUGCGUCAGGAUGAUAUGACUGUGAUGCAGUACGAGAUGAGAUUUUCUGAGUCAGCCCGUCAUGCUGUUUGGUUGGCUCCUACAGACAGGGAGAGGAUCAGGAGGUUCGUGGAUGGUCUCGCAUAUCAGCUACGGAUUCCUAUGACCAGAGAGAGGGUGUCUAGUGCUUCUUUUGAGGAGGUGGUUGACAUUGCUCGAGAGCUAGAGUCGGUUCGCCGCCAGGAGCAAGUUGAGAGGGAGGCCAAGAGGCCUCGGGGAUCUGGUAGUUUUGGUGGUGUUUCUUCUAGAGGUCAGUUUCACCACGGCAGGGGUCGUUCCUUCAGGCAUGCUCAGACGGCCCGUCCAGGCCACCGUGGUGGAUCAUCUGGCAAUGGUUCUCACAGUUCACAUUAGGGCCACUCAUCUCUCAGUGCCCUCCCAGCUUAGAGUUUGACUCAUGAUCGUUAGCUCAGGGUUCAUCCAUUCCAGGUUCUUCUACCAGUUAUCCCUGUCACGACCCAAACUGAUAGGCCGCGACGGGCACCCGAUACGUUACUCAACCGAGUACCAACGUAAUGUAUCUUUCUUAUUACAUCAUCAUAUACAUGUGACAUACGGGCCUAAUAGGUCAACAUGAUCUUUUAUAAACACGAAACAUAGGCCGAUAAAGCCGCACAAUCUUUCACGUAUACGACAUAUGUCUACAAGCCUCUAAGAGUAUAUAAAUGUCAUAAAGGUCGGGACAGAGUCCCGCCAUACCAAGAAAUACACGUCUAAAUCAUACUAACCAAACACGCAACUCCGAAGCAAAUGGAGCGCACCAAUAUCUUCCGCUGAGCUGAUAGCCUACUUGGAGGGCUCUCGACCUGUCUACCUGGACCUGCGAGCAUGAAACGCAGCAUCCCCAAGCAAAAGAGACGUCAGUAUGAAUAGUGUACCAAGUAUGUAAGACACAUAAAUAGAUACAUAAGAGACAUGGAAGAAAUAUAGAGUACAUGACUCAAUCUGUAAGUCUGAAUAACUUUGUAAAUCAUAUAUUACUUUUAGUGUCAUGCAUAUGCGUAUGAAUGUCAUGUCGUACAUAGGUACAUGUUUCAUAACAUCAUCAGNNNNNNNNNNNNNNNNNNNNNNNNNNNNNNNNNNNNNNNNNNNNNNNNNNNNNNNNNNNNNNNNNNNNNNNNNNNNNNNNNNNNNNNNNNNNNNNNNNNNNNNNNNNNNNNNNNNNNNNNNNNNNNNNNNNNNNNNNNNNNNNNNNNNNNNNNNNNNNNNNNNNNNNNNNNNNNNNNNNNNNNNNNNNNNNNNNNNNNNNNNNNNNNNNNNNNNNNNNNNNNNNNNNNNNNNNNNNNNNNNNNNNNNNNNNNNNNNNNNNNNNNNNNNNNNNNNNNNNNNNNNNNNNNNNNNNNNNNNNNNNNNNNNNNNNNNNNNNNNNNNNNNNNNNNNNNNNNNNNNNNNNNNNNNNNNNNNNNNNNNNNNNNNNNNNNNNNNNNNNNNNNNNNNNNNNNNNNNNNNNNNNNNNNNNNNNNNNNNNNNNNNNNNNNNNNNNNNNNNNNNNNNNNNNNNNNNNNNNNNNNNNNNNNNNNNNNNNNNNNNNNNNNNNNNNNNNNNNNNNNNNNNNNNNNNNNNNNNNNNNNNNNNNNNNNNNNNNNNNNNNNNNNNNNNNNNNNNNNNNNNNNNNNNNNNNNNNNNNNNNNNNNNNNNNNNNNNNNNNNNNNNNNNNNNNNNNNNNNNNNNNNNNNNNNNNNNNNNNNNNNNNNNNNNNNNNNNNNNNNNNNNNNNNNNNNNNNNNNNNNNNNNNNNNNNNNNNNNNNNNNNNNNNNNNNNNNNNNNNNNNNNNNNNNNNNNNNNNNNNNNNNNNNNNNNNNNNNNNNNNNNNNNNNNNNNNNNNNNNNNNNNNNNNNNNNNNNNNNNNNNNNNNNNNNNNNNNNNNNNNNNNNNNNNNNNNNNNNNNNNNNNNNNNNNNNNNNNNNNNNNNNNNNNNNNNNNNNNNNNNNNNNNNNNNNNNNNNNNNNNNNNNNNNNNNNNNNNNNNNNNNNNNNNNNNNNNNNNNNNNNNNNNNNNNNNNNNNNNNNNNNNNNNNNNNNNNNNNNNNNNNNNNNNNNNNNNNNNNNNNNNNNNNNNNNNNNNNNNNNNNNNNNNNNNNNNNNNNNNNNNNNNNNNNNNNNNNNNNNNNNNNNNNNNNNNNNNNNNNNNNNNNNNNNNNNNNNNNNNNNNNNNNNNNNNNNNNNNNNNNNNNNNNNNNNNNNNNNNNNNNNNNNNNNNNNNNNNNNNNNNNNNNNNNNNNNNNNNNNNNNNNNNNNNNNNNNNNNNNNNNNNNNNNNNNNNNNNNNNNNNNNNNNNNNNNNNNNNNNNNNNNNNNNNNNNNNNNNNNNNNNNNNNNNNNNNNNNNNNNNNNNNNNNNNNNNNNNNNNNNNNNNNNNNNNNNNNNNNNNNNNNNNNNNNNNNNNNNNNNNNNNNNNNNNNNNNNNNNNNNNNNNNNNNNNACUCUUUUCAACUUUCAUAUUUUUCUCAGACCCAUGAACAGAUGAUAAAAUAUUAUGACACACGGAAAUUCAAGAACAUAGAUAUCUCUAAUACUUCUAAGAAUAGAAUUAUUCAUGGAAUUUGUGCAUUUGCACGUUUCAUUCGUAUCGUAUGGAUCAUGCCAAAAGAAAGAAUGGAUAGUCUUAACAUACCUGAGUCGAUUCCCUUAAUAAUCCCUCAGAACCGCAAUUUCACGCAUGUUUUAUUUUCUUACAAACUUUGGAGCUUCAUUCGUUACUUUUUAAAGACUUCAUAUCACUCCUUUUGGCUUUUGAGAUUCCUCCGUAUGCAAGCCUAAGUAUAAGUGUAUAAGAAAAUUUCUAUCUCAUGUGAUUCUUUGGUGAAUGAUUGUUGGCAGUGUCGUUGAUUAUGUACUUGAGAUAAUUAGCUUGAGUGCCCGAAUCUUUUCUUAUUUCUCCCGUAAUUCCUCUUUGCCUUCAUUCAUUUUGUGAUCAUGUCUACUAAGUACUACUAUAUAUUAUAUUAUUUCAUGUUUUACUUAAAUGGAAGUGCUAUUUGUUGGAGGAAGUGUAGUAAAGGGUUUAGAUAAGAAUGAUCAUGUUCCAUUAACGUGGAUCACAACAUGGUUAGCCACCUAUGUGUGAUUUUUAAGAAUCACAUUCUUGUGACUUUAUGGGCUGCCACGUAAUUCCAUUGGGUGGGGAUUUAAACAUUAUUCAAUAAUCAAUUAAUUAAUUAGGUAAUAUCCCGCUACCCGGUAAUUAACCAAUUACCCACAUAAUUAAGAAUUGUCUCAAAUUACUUAAAAUUCUACUUAUUUUUAAUACACUUUAUACAUCCUACUACCAAAGUCAUAUGGUAUCUUGUAUGGUACUAGUCCAUAAAUAUCGGGUAUUUUUGCUCAGCCACAUUUUCCCCAAUAUUCCAAACUUGGACGAAAAUUCAUUUUCUUUGACUUUCUUCCCUUCUCACCUUCACGAAUUUACUCAUCACUUAUAAUCUCCAAAUAAUCUUUUUCUUGGACUGAUAUCAAUUACCUUACGACAAAUUCAUCAUACAAUACUACAGGGUGAAAUAUCGUCGUAACUUAAUAUUGCGAAGCAUAACAUCACCGUAAUGCAAUACUGCAAGGCGUAACAUCAUCGUAAUAUUGCGGGGUGUAACAAUCCCGGUGCUCGAGGCUCCCUUCAGUCCCCAACACCAGCAUUGGGGAGUUGCAACGAGUGUGGAGAGUUUGGUCAUAUCAGGAGGCAGUGUCCCCGCCUAGUGGGAGGUCCAGCUUAGCAGUAGAGGUGUCAGACUUCAACUUUAGCACCAGUCACUUCACCACCCGCUCAGCCAGGUCGGGGUAGAGGUCAAUCAGCUAGGGGUUGCCCCAUAGGGGGAGGCCGAUUAGGUGGAGGUCAGGUCGUUUCUAUGCACUCCUUGCCAGACUCGAUGAUAUUGCUUCAUAUGUUGUGAUCAUAGGUAUUAUCUCAGUUUGUCACAAGGAUCCCUCUGUAUUAUUUGAUCCUGGUUCCACUUUUUCAUAUGUGUCGUCAUAUUUUUCUCAUUAUUUGGAUACGCCCCGCGAGUCUUUUGUUUCAUCUGUUCAUGUAUCUACUCUUGUGGGCGAUACUAUUGUUCUGGACCGCAUAUAUCGGUCUUGUGUGGUGACUAUUGGGGGUUUGGAGACCCGAGCAGACCUUUUGCUGCUUAAUGUGGUUGAUUUUGAUGUGAUAUUGGGCAUGGAUUGGUUGUCUCUGUGUCAUGCUAUUCUGGACUAUCAUGCUAAGACGGUGACAUUAGCUAUGCCGGGGGUGCCAUGGUUUGAGAAGCGAGGUUCGUCGGAUUAUGUUCCUAGUAGAAUGAUUUCAUACUUGAAGGCCUAGCGGAUGGUUGGGAAGGGUUAUCUUUCUUAUUUGGCCUUUGUGAGGGAUGUCAGUGUAGAGACUCCUACUAUUGAUUUUAGUUCUAGUGGUGAGAGAUUUUUCGGAUGUGUUUCCUACAGACCUGUCGGGCAUGCUGCCGGACAGGGAUAUUGACUUCGGUAUUGAUUUGGUGCUGGGCACUCAGCCCAUUUCUAUUCUAUCGUAUCGUAUGGCACCAGCGGAGUUAAGAGAAUUGAAGGAGCAGCUUCAGAAACUCCUUGAUAAGGGGUUUAUUCGGCCAAGUGUGUCACCUUGGGGUGCACCAGAUCUAUUUGUAAAGAAGCAGGAUGACACUAUGAGAAUGUGCAUUGAUUGUAGUUGAACAAAGUCACAAUCAAUAACAAGUAUCAUUUGCCUCGUAUUAAUGAUUUAUUUGACUAGCUUCAGGGAGAGAGGGUGUUCUCCAACAUUGAUCUCAAGUCAAGGUAUCACCAGUUGAAGAUUAGGGACUCAGACAUUCUUAAGACAGCUUUCAAGACCCGAUAUGGUCAUUAUGAGUUCCUUGUGAUAUCUUUUGGGCUGACUAAUGCCCCAGCAGUGUUCAUGCAUUUGAUGAAUAGCGUGUUUCGGCCUUAUCUUGACUCGUUUGUUAUUGUAUUCAUUGAUUAUAUCCUGGUGUACUCUCGUAGCUAGGAGGAGCACGCCUAGCAUUUGAGAGUUGUAUUGCAGCGGUUGAGGGAGGAGAAACUUUAUUCUAAGUUCUUCAAGUGUGAGUUUUGGCUCAGUUUAGUGGUGUUCUUAGGGCACGUGGUGUCCAGUGAGGGUAUUUAGGUCGAUCUGAAGAAGAUAGAGGCGGUCCAGAGUUGGCCCAGACCGUCCUCAGCCACAGAAAUUCGUAGCUUUCUUGGUUUGGCGGGUUAUUACUGUCGAUUCGUUCAGGAAUUUUCAUCUAUUGCACCACCCUUGACCAAAUUGACCCAACAGGGUGCUCCUUUCAAGUGGUCGGACGAGUGUGAGGCGACCUUUCAGAAGCUCAAGACUGCCUUGACCAUGACUCCAGUGUUAGUUCUGCCAUCAGCUUCAGGUUCUUAUACAGUAUAUUGUGAUGCUUCUUGGGUCGGCAUUGGGUGUGUGUUGAUGCAGAAGGGUAGAGUGAUUGCUUAUGCUUCUCGUAAGUUGAAGCCCCAUGAGAAGAACUACCUUGUUCAUGAUUUGGAGUUGGUUGCCAUUGUUCACGCGUUGAAGAUUUGGAGGCACUAUCUCUAUGGAUUAUGAUAUUACCAUCUUGUACCAUCCGGGAAAGGCCAAUGUGGUGUCCAAUGCCUUGAAUAGAAAGGCAGUGAGUAUGGGUAGUCUUGCAUUCCUUCCUAUUGGGGAGAGACCUCUGAUAUUCAGGCCUUGGCCAAUCAGUUCGUGAGAUUGGAUAUUUCGGAGCCCAAUCGGGUCCUAGCUUGUGUGGUUUCUCAGUCUUUCCUAUUUGAUCGCAUCAGAGAGCGCCAGUAUGAUGAUCCUCAUUUGUUAGUACUCAAGGGCAGAGUUCAGCACAGUGAUGCCAGAGAUGUGACUAUUGGUGAUGACGGGGUAUUGAGGAUGUAGGGCCGGAUAGGUGUGCCCAAUGUAGAUGGGCUUCGGGAGUUGAUUCUUGAGGAGGCCCAUAGAUCGCGGUAUUCCAUCCAUUUAGGUGCCGCAAAGAUGUAUCAAGAUUUGAGAUAACACUAUUAUUGGAGGAGGAUGAAGAAGGACAUAGUUGGGUUUGCAGCUCGGUGUCUCAAUUAUCAGCAGGUGAAAUAUGAACAUCAGAGACGUGGUUGUUUGCUCCAGCAGAUAGAGAUUCCAGAGUGGAAGUGGGAACGGAUCACCAUGGAUUUCGUAGUCAGGCUCCCACGGACUUCGAGGAAGUUUGAUACUAUUUGGGUAAUUGCGGAUCGGCUAACCAAGUUUGCACAUUUCAUUCCUGUGUGUACUACUUAUUCUUUAGAGUGGUUGGCUGAGAUUUAUAUCCGAGAGAUUGUUUGCCUGCAUGGUGUCCCAAUUUCCAUCAUUUUAGAUAGAGGUACUCAGUUUACAUCGUAGUUUUGGAGGGCUGUGCAGCGAGAGUUGGGUACUCAGGUUGAGUUGAGCACAGCUUUCACCCUCAGACGGACGGGCAGUCCGAGUGUACUAUUCAGAUAUUGGAGGACAUGUUGCCCGUUUGUGUCAUUGACUUUGGGGGUUCAUGGGACCUGUUUCUUCCGCUCACGGAGUUUGCAUAUAACAACAGUUAUAAGUUGAGUAUUCAGAUGGCCCCGUAUGAGGCUUUAUAUGGGAGGCGGUGUAGAUCUCCAGUAGGUUGGUUUGAGCCGGGUGAGGCUAGGCUUUUUGGGUACAGACUUGGUUCAGGAUGCAUUAAACAAGGUGAAGGUGAUUCAGAAGCGGCUUCGCACAGCGUAGUCUAGGCAGAAGAGUUAUACGGAUAGGAAGGUCUGUGAUGUGUCUCAUAUGGUUCGGGAGAAGGUUUUGCUGAAGGUUUCACCCAUGAAGGGUGUUAUGAGAUUUGGGAAGAAGGGCAAGCUGAGCCCUCGGUUCAUUGGGAAUUUUGAGGUGCUUCGGAGGAUUGGGGAGGUGGCUUAUAAGCUUGCUUUACCACCUAGCUUGUCAAGUGUGCAUCCAGUAUUUCAUGUUGCUAUGCUCUGAAAGUAUAUCGGCGAUCCGUCUUAUGUUUUGGAUUUCAACAGGGUUCAGUUAGAUGGUGAUUUGACUUAUGAUGUGGAGCCAGUGGCUAUUUUAGAGCGGCAGGUCCGAAAGUUGAGAUCAAAGGAUAUAGCUUCAGUUAAAGUGCAGUGGAGAGGUCAGACCGUGGAGGAGGCUACUUGGGAUAUCGAGUGGGAGAUGCGGAGCAGAUAAUCACACCUAUUUGAGACUCCAAGUAUGUUUCUAGACUCGUUCGAGGACGAACGUUUGUAUAAAAGGGGGAGGAAGUAACAACCCGACCGAUCGUUUUAUGAGUUAUAGCCCCAUUUCCCUCAUUUCUGAUUCCUUUUGUGUUCUUCAACUGUAUUGUAUCGUAUCGUGUUGGUUGGUUCGGGUCCGGAGUGGUUUCGAAGUGGAAUGAGACACUUAGUCUCCUAUUUAGAAGCUUAAGUCGGAAAAGUAGACCGGAUGUUGGCUUAUGUGUAAAUGACCUCAGAUUUGAAUUUUGAUAAUUCCGUUAGCUCUAUUAGGUGAUUUUGGACUUAUGAGCGUGUCCGGAAUGUGAUUUGGAGAUCCGUGGUAGAAUUAGGUAUGAAUCGACAAAAGUUGGAGUUUUGGCCGACAGUGGAAAUUUUUAUAUCGGGAUCGAAAUAGAAUUUCGGAAGUUGGAGUAGGUUCGUGAUGUCAUUUUUGACUUGUGUGCAAAAUUUAGGGUCAUUCGGACAUGAUUUGAUAGGUUUCGGUGUCGUUUGUAAAAUUUCAAAGUUUAGAAGUUCUUAGGCUUGAAUCCUAGGGUAAUUCAGUAUUUUGAUGUUGUUUUGAGUGUUCCGAAGGUUCGACUAAGUUUGUAUGUUGGUAUAUGACUUGUUGGUAUGUUUGGUUGAGGUCCCGAGGGGCUCGGGAUUAUUUCGGAUGGUUAACGGAGAGUUUAGAACUUGGAAAAUGCAGCUGAAGCUGUUGGUUAUGUGUUAACCGCACUUGCAGAGUGGGAAUAGGAGGUGCGAGGCCCACAGAUGCGGAAGUGGAGCAUAGAUGCGGGAUAUUGCCUGGGAAGGAAGAAUCGCAGAAGCGGGCAGGGCCCGCAGGUGCACAUCCGCAGCCGCGGUUGUUUGACCGCAGAUGCAGACUUUGGGCGAGUAAGUGAGAUCCGCACCUGCGAUGAGAAAUACGCAGGUGUGGCAUCGCAGAAGCAUGAUGUGGACCGUAGGUGCGGUUCUACUGGGCAGAAAGUAUAUAAAGGAGACUUCGCAAAUUUUGCUUAUUUCCACCAUUUUUGAAGACGGGUUUUGGAGUGAUUUUGAAGGGAUAUUCAAGGGGUUUCAGUGAGGUUAGUUGCUUGAGCUCUAGUACUCCUAUAUAUAGUGUUUUCUCAUUGUUUAAUCAAUUAAUUCGUGGAAAUUAAGGGUGAAAAUGAGGGGUUAGGGCUAGGAAUUUUGGAGAGUUGAUUGGAGGAUUUGAGGGACUAAAUGGAGUCAGAUUUUGAUAAAUUUCAUAUGUAUGAACUCGUGAGUGAAUGGGCUUUCUAGUUCUGUGUCUUUUGUCGAAUUUCGAGAUGUGGGCCUGGGGGCCGGGUUCGAGUGACUUUCGGGAUUUGUGUCCAAUUAUGUAACUUUUCUUGUGGAAUUGGUUCUUUGGCCUAUAUUGAUUGCAUUGUAUUGCUUUUUGCUAGAUUUGGGAGUUUGGAGGCCGAUUCGAGAGGUAAAAAGCAUUAAAGAGUAGGAUUUUACUCGGAUUGAGGUAAGUAACGGUUGUAAAUCCGGUCCUGAGGGUAUGAGACCCCGAAUAUCGUGUCGUAUGACUAUUUUUGAUAACAACACGAUAGGGGAUUCAAGAAAGGUGAUAAGUUUAUGUUUAUUGUUGUUCUUGUUAUUCUAACGGGUCGGGUUUCACAAUUUAUCUCUUGUUUUUAACUUCUACCAAAGGCAAUUAGUUCUUCGUUAACUAAUUGUUGUUGUUAGGAUUAACUUUCAAGAAUAGGCUUCUUGAAUUCAAUCUAUCUUUAAUUUCUGUCUUCUUUUUCGUUUCUUUAUUUUCUUUUAGCUUCCGCAUAUUUCUUGAUUUUUCUUGUUUUUCUUUAGUAAUUCUUGAAUCCCCUAUCGUGUUGUUAUCAAGUGGUAUUAGAUCAUAGACUAAUCAAGAUUUUAAUCUUGAUAAUCUUGGGAGGUUCUUGAGCAACAAAAAAAAACCAAAAACAAAAAUCAGCCCAAAAAAGUGUUAUUGCUCAUUAUUAUUUUUAGAAUUCAAGUAUUAUUUGGUUUCCAAGUCAAAAAAGAAAACAAGAAGAGGGGAUCCUUGUUCUUGAAGAUUAAGGAAACUGCUUUCCUUAUUCUUGUGGGUUUUGGGUUUCCUAAAAUUCUUUCCUUUUUUUCUACUAACCAAUUCCUAUUCUUCCUAGGUUUGGUCAUUCACUUUUCUUUCUUUUUCUAACUCCAUAUUCUUAUCAUUAAGGGUUGUGACUAGUAAGGUUUAUUAAUAAAUCUAAAGAUUAACGACCAAAAGUUGCAUUGAGUGAAAAAAAGACAAGAGAGGUGAGAAUAUUAGAAGGAAAAAGCCAAAUUUAAGAGAGACAUAAUUCUUCUAAUCUUUGUUCAUGAUGUUUCAAAAAAGUAGUUAUGAAGAAAAGAUGCGAGCUAUAACUCAACAAUUUAAAAAGUCAAACUUACAACAUGCUGAAGGGAAGGAAGACAAUGGUAAAUUUAUUUUUCAAACAAGAGCUAAAGUGAUGUCUGCGAUUUGUGCCCUUAGAAUUGAUAAAGAAUUUGGCUAUAACUCAAUUAGCACUUGUUGAGAAAUUGAACUUGCCUUAUGUUGAGCAUAUUGAACCCUACAUGUUAGGAGGAGCAAAGGUAGAUAAAAGAGUGUUAUAACAAUUUUCUAUUGGAAGGUAUGAAGAUACGAUCUGGUGUGAUGUGAUUUCCAUGAAUAAUUAUCAUAUCUUGUUGGGAAAACCAUGGUAAGACUAUAGAAGAGAUUCAUAAAACAUAAAAAAAAAUAGAUACUCUUUUGAGGUUAAUGGGAGGAAAACUCAUUCUUGGACCUUUGAUUCCCUCACAAAUUUGUGAAGAUGAAAAGACUUUUAAAGAAAAUAUGGAAAAAUAUGAGAGAGAAAAGAAUGAGAGGAGUAAGGGAGUGCAUGUUAACAUCCCAAGAGAGGAAAAAGGAGAGGGUGUGUUGAGUAAAGAGAAUGGGAUGUCAAGGAAGGAAAAUAGUGAGCUUAAGAGGAAAGAAAAGAGAGAAUGCCAUGAGAUAGAAAAAGGCUUUGAGGUAGAGAGAGAGAGAAAAGAGAUGGUUUGAGCGAAGAAAAAGAAGAAAACCUUGGUGAGAGAGAAGAGGAUAAGGAGGAGGAAAAAGUUAGUUUUGUGAUAAAAGCCAAAGAGAGUAUAAGCAAGAAAAAAAAUUCUUUACUUCCUAACCCAUUAACUCUUUCUUAUUUUAGUUCUUGUGAUUUUGAGCAGCCACGUGUUGAAAGACCUUUUGAAAGGGGAGGUUAGGUGCAAGAGAUGGUGGCAAAGGAUCCAAUUGGAUUCUAACAUGAAUUUGGCGAAAUCAAUUCUUGUUGGAUAGUGGAAGAUAAAAGCUUGGUUAAAUUCUUUGUUAUUGAAUCUUUUCUACUUGAUUCUUAUUUACAGGUUUAUGACACGGAGUUCCCUAAAGCCAUUGCUAAGCUGGAAUCAUUGCAUAAAAGAAUACAAGGUGAUGUUGUUCCAUUAGUAAAUAAAUCCAAGUAUGGUAUGUAUAAUUGGUUUAUUCACAUUCUUGGCCUUUCUAGAACACCUAAGGUAUUUUUGGAGGUAAUGAACUAGACUCUUAUUUCUUAUGUUGGUGACUUUAUAAUUUUUGUGGAUGAUAAUAUUUUGAUGCAUAUCAAGUCAUUAACUGUAAUAUCUAAGUUCAAGUGCAAGAGUAAUUUGCUUCCUUUUGAAAUUGAGUAUGACAUAGAUGAUUAUGCAUUCCAACUUGGUAGAAAGAGGCAUGAAAUUUAUGAGAAGAGACUUACUAAUGAGUUAAAUGUUCUUUAUUCUCUCAUUCAAGUGCCUAAUGAGUUUUCAUGUGAUAAAUUGCUAGAAUGUAAGUUUUGUUGUUUGAUGGGAAAUUAUUCCUCUAGUCAUAUUGAUUGUGAGCCUAUAAAAGUGCUUGCUUCUAGUAAAGAGGAUAUGCAUGAUUAUUGUGACAAUAGUGAUCAAAUACUCUUUCAUGAACCUAUCUGUGACUCUUUCUGUGACAGUGUGAGCAAUUAUGUAGAAUCCAUUGAUUUUGCGAAUAUUAUUGGGGAAUGUUAUAAUCAUGAGUUCGAAUAUAUUAAAAAAUUUAUUUUGGAAUUUAUGGGUUCUUCUGACCUUUCUGAGAAUUUAUGUGCUUCUUUGAAUAACUUAAAUGUAGAAGGAUCCAUGGGAUUUAUAAUUGAUACUUGGCUAUAUCAUAAAAGUGUCUUAUUUGAUACAUGUGGUAGAGAUACUUGUUUUAAAUGGAUGCGUGAUCAAUCUUUUGUAAUUUCAUUGUCAUGCACAUUUUUUGACUACCUUAAGAGAGGUUUUUAUGGGACAAAUCUAAAGUGGCAUAAAUUUUAUUGGGAUGAUAAUGUCCAUAUGCUUUAUAAAGGAGUAUUUACACCUAUUAGGCUUAAUUGGGUUAAGUGGACACAUGGUCACUAUCUUGUUUUAUUCUUACCAUUUUUUCAUAUUAGUGGAUGCCAUUUUCUAGUGCUUGUCUUCGAUUUCUUGCAAGGUCGGAAUUCGAGGACGAAUUUUCUUCAAGAAGAGGGGAAUGAUAGCAUCCUAGGAAGCUCAAAUUUAUUCAAGGACAAGGAUGAAGCUUUGGAAUCUCAAAGAGGGCCUUUAACAAGAUCUCAAGCUAAAAAGUUGCAAAACAAGGUCAUUGGACUUUAGGAACGAUCAAAGAAGUUGUUAGUUGGGAGGAAGAGCUUAAGGAUAAAGGAUAUGAGUUAUUUAGGUGUUAUAAUUAUUUUAUUGCUCAAAUUCAUGUCCAAUAAGAGGUGGAUUAGAUCUCAAGAAACAUCCUCUGAAGAAGGUCCAAAUCAGGCCACUGUUGGACCAAUUUAAAACCUAAAAUGUGUCCAAACUUGCAGCCCAUGAAGUCCUACAUAAAGCCACAUUUUUAUAGCAUAAAAAGGACUUACUUGAUGUCCAAGAAUGGUACAAUAGUCGUGCUAGAUGUUAAGUGCAAGUUGGUUCCAAGUUGCUUGCAAAUUUCCUUCAAGAUUUCCAAGAUUUUCAAGAUUCUAUCCAAGAUUGGUUUGAGACUUAUUUCCAUAUAUUAUGGGACUAUAUUUAUUGUUUUCCUAGUUCGUUAAGGUUAUGUUUUUCUUUUUCUAAGAUUUUUGGAAUGACUUUCCAAGAAUGACUUGGUGUUUGCUUCCUAGUAUUUUUCUUUUCCUACGNNNNNNNNNNNNNNNNNNNNNNNNNGUGAUAAAUUUAGGCUUAUUGUUGUUCUUAUUAUUCUAAAGGGUUGGGUUCUCUUGUUUUUAACCUCUACCAAAGGCGAUUAGUUCUUCGUUAUUGUUGUUGUUAGGACUAACCUUCAGGAAUAGACUUCUUGAAUUCAAGAAACUCUUUCUUGAAUUCAAUCUAUCUUUAAUUUCUGUCUUCUUUUUCGUUUCUUUAUUUUCUUUUAGCUUCCGCAUAUUUUUUAGUUUUUCUUGUUUUUCUUUAGUAAUUCUUGAAUCCUCUAUCGUGUUGUUAUCAAUUUUAGAGGUGACGCACAUGAUAGGUGAAGGGCGUGUAGGCGUGCACCGUAGGGAUUGUGACUUGGUCCAUCCCGUAAGACUGUGGAAUCAAUUAGUCUACUGUUUAAUACACGUUCCCUCUGUUUCAUGGAAAUUGACUGUACUUCAUGCUAGAAAUCAUGUUUAGACCUUAUAUUAUCUUUGUUGAGACCCGUGAGGUCGUGUACUUACUGAAUUACCUGCUACUUGCUGUUUUGUUCUCAGUCAUGAUAUUACUUGCGUAUUUUACCUCCAUCCCUUCAUAUUUUAUCAUUGAUACAUGUUAUUAUCCUCGUUUGGGCUAAAUUCUAUAUUUUCUGAGAGCCUGAGGGACUGGUGAGGUUAGUGACUGAGAUAGGGUCUGAGUGUCGAGCUGAGAGCUAUAUGAUUGUAUAUGGAUCGAAUUGCACACCGCAACGAACCUCAAGUCUAUAUAUGUAUAUUGGAUCGGGUUGCACGCUGCAACGAGCCUUCGGGAUGAUUAUUUACAUUGGAUCAAGUUGCACGUUGCAACGAACCUUAUGGCUGUUUAUAUAUUGCAUCGGACUGCACGCCGCAGCGAUAUAGCGUUUGGGCUAAAAGGCCCCUUCGGAGUCUGCACGCCCCCAGUGAGUAUAGGUACCUAUUAAGUGUGAUUAUUGAGGGCUGAGAGCCGAGUGAUUGAGCUAUUGAGAUGAACGGAGUGAUUGUGCCCUUGAGAGGCUGUACUUGCUUUCAGUUAAUUAUUGCACUUAGUUGUUAUUUGUCCUUGUUGUACAAAUUUCUGGAUAACUUGAUACCUAGUUUACUUGUACACGAAAUGAUGUGAUCUAAAUUGAAGAAUUUGAAAAUAAGACUCUUCUUACUUGAAAGAUACUGAGAUAACUGUAUUUGUAUAGCUCGUCACUACUUCUCAAUUCCUUAUUUAUUUCUGUUAUUUACUGAGUUGGAAGUACUCACGUUACUCCCUGCACCUUGUGCGCAGAUCCAGGUGAGACCGAUCGCAGGGAUCAUUGAGCUUGUGCAUAGUUGACUGCUCAGAGAUCUACGAGGUAGCUGACAGUGUCUGCAGCCCUUGGCUCUCCUUCCAUCGUUAUCUUUCUUCCUAUUUUAUAGAAAUUGACGGAAAUAGUAAACCUUGAUUAUAGAACAGUUGUAGAUGUUCAUUACUUAGUGACACCCUGAUGUCGGGUUAUUUAUUUCGGCAUUUUGUUUCGAGUUGAACUUAUUUUUAAUGAAAUUUCAGUAUGAAAAAGGCAUUUAUCUAUCUUUAAUGAAAUAUCGAAUUGUUUUUGGGGGUGUGUCGGCUUGCCUAGUUCCACGAUAGGCGCCAUCACGAUCGGGUUUAGUUUUGAGUCGUAACACCAACCCUCGCACCUGCGCUUCCAGUCCAAUCCACUCUUGCCCGCAUCUGCGAGCACCUCUUCGCUUGUGCAGGACCGCACCUGCGGGCUCCCCACCGCAGGUGCUAAAACACCAGAACUAGGCAAACUUCAGCAAUCCUUCAAACUACAAACUUGUUCCGUUAAUCACCCGAAAUCAACCCGAAGCCCUCGGGACCUCAACAAAACAUACCAACACGUCUUAUAACAUCAUAAGAAAUUAGUCAAACCUUCGAAUCACUCAAAACAACAUCAAAAUAUCAAAUUACCCCCGGAUUCAAGCCUAAGAACUUCUAAACUUCUGAAUUCCACAAACGACGUCAAAACCUAUCAAACCGCGUCCGAAUGAUCUCAAAUUUUGCACACAAGUCAGAAAUGACACCACGAACCUACUCCAACUUCCGAAAAUCUGAUCCGACCCCGAUAUCAAAAUUUUCAUUGCCGACCAAAAUCGCCAAAAUUUUAACUUUCGCCAAUUCAAGCCUACUUCAACCACGGACCUCCAAAUCACAUUUCGGACGCGCUCCUAAGUCCAAAAUCACCUAAAGGAGCUAACGUAACCAUCCAAAUUCAAAUCCGAGAUCGUUUACACAUAAGUCAAUAUCCAGUCAACUUUUCCAACUUAAGCUUCCAAAUAAGAGACUAUGUGUCUCAAUUCACUCCGAAACCACUCUGGACCCAAACCAACUAACCCGAUAUAUCAUAAUAUAGCUGUAGAACACAAAAAAAAAAGUAGAAAAUGGGGGAACGGGUCUAUAACUCUCGAAACGACCGGUCAGGUCGUUACACUUUGAUUCCUUUGUUUAGUUUAUAAUUACUUUGAUUUUGUUAUUGAAUUUAAAUUUUAUUUAAUGGUAUAGUUCAUCGACUUUCAUUGCUAUUAUUGACUUUUUUGUGACUUGUAAAUAUACUGUGAAAUUCAUCUUUUCAGUUUUUACACUUUGAUUUUGUUAUUGAAUUUACAAGUUUUGGCUCGGAAAGGGAAGGAAUCAGACAUUACGGAGCAUGACUCUUUUCUCUUAGUUAAUGUCCUGUGAACUUGAUCUGAUAUUUUUUAUUUUCACGGCUAAACAGAGAAUACUUCUCAUUUCAACUACUUUAAUCUGACUUUGAUUCCUUUGUUUAGUUUAUAGUUACUAUAAUAUUGUUAUUGAAUUUAAAUUUAUUAAACGGUAUAGUUCAUCGACUUUCGUUAUUGAUUUUUUUGUGACUUGUAAAUAUACUGUGAAAUUCAUCCUUUCAGUUUUUCACUUUGAUUUUAUUAUUGUAUUUAAAUGUUCUGGCUCGGAAUGGAAGGAAUCAGACAUUACAGAGCAUGACUCUCUUCUCCUAGUAAAUGUCUUGUGAACUUGAUCUGAUGUCUUUUAUUUUCCCGGCUAAACAGAGAAUACUUCUCAUUUCAACUACUUCCAUCGACCUUGAUUCCUUUGUUUAGUUUAUAGUUACUUUGAUAUUGUUGUUGAAUAAAUUUAGUUAAUGGUAGAGUUCAUCGACUUUCGUUAUUGAUUUUUUUGUGACUUGUAAAUAUGCUGUAAAAUUCAUCCUUUCAGUUUUUCACUUUGAUUUUGUUAUUGAAUUUAAAGGUUCUGGCUCGGAAUGGAAGGAAUCAGACUUUACGGAGCAGGACUCUCUUCUACUAGUAAAUGUCUUGUGAACUUGAUCCGAUAUUUUUUAUUUUCACAGCUAAACAGAGAAUACUUCUCAUUUUAACUACUUUCAUCGACUUUGAUUUCUUUGUUUAGUUUAUAGUUACUUUGAUAUUGUUAUUAAAUAUAAUUUUUUUAAUGUUAUAGUUCAUCGACUUUCGUUACUGAUUUUUUUUUGUUACUUGUAAAUAUACUGUGAAAUUCAUUCUUUCAUUAUUUUCACUUUGAUUUUGUUAUUGAAUUUAAAGGUUCUGGCUCGAAAUGGGAAGGAAUCAGACAUUACGGAGCAGGACUCUCUUCUCCUAGUAAAUGUCUUGUGAACCUGAUCCGAUGUUUUUUAUUUUCACGGCUAAACAGAGAAUACUUCUCAUGUCAACUACUUUCAUUGACUUUGAUUCCUUUGUUUAGUUUAUAGUUACUUUAAUGUUGUUAUUGAAUUUAAAUUUUGUUUAAUGGUAUAGUUCAUCGACUUUCGUUAUUGAUUUUCUUAUGACUUGUAAAUAAACUGUGAAAUUCAUCCUUUUAGUUUUUUCACUUUGAUUUUGUUAUUGAAUUUAAAGGUUCUGGCUCGGAAUGCGAAGGGAUCAGACAUUAUGGAGCAGAACUCUCUUCUCCUAGUAAAUGUCCUGUGAACUUGUUCCUGUUUUUUGUUUUCACCGCUAAACCGAGAAUGCUUCUCAUUUCAACUACUUUCAUCGGCUUUAACUCCUUUCUGUAGUUUAUAGUUACUUUGAUUUUGUUUACUGAAUUUACAUUUGUUUAGUUUCAUCGACCCUCAUCGCUAAUUAUUGAUUUGUUGUGACUUCUAAAUGUACUGUGAAAUUCAUCAUUUCAUUAUUUUUAUUUUCAUCUCUAACUAUGCUCGGCUAAUUAAGAUUGCUAUUAUAUAAUUUUCUUAAGCAAAAUUAUGUUUCAUUGUUGCUUGUAAUUAAUCAUUGUUCGAUUUGAUUAAUCAUAAAAUUUCACUUUAUUAUAAGAAGGCUCACUUCUGUUCUCCAAAUGGUAUUAACGAACAAUAAUUAUCUAUAGGCGCGCGCUACACAUAAAGCCUAUAUGUACUCAAUUGUAAUUGAUUGGAAUCUGAGUUGUUAUAUAGAGCGUUUGAUUACAUCUUUAGCUUUGGUUAAUUUAGAUUGUUUUUCAGAUCUCUUUGUUAGUAAACUUAGGUGCCAAAGAGCCUAAAGUCUCAAAUAUUGUAUUCACAAUGGCUUGAUAAGAUCUCGUCUAUGAUAAGUUCAAUAUCAAGUUACUGUCAAUACACCAUCAUAAUCCCGUUAAAAGAGACUGUGAAUCCAAUUAAAAAGUUCUGCCAUGAAUUACCUUAUUAGUUUAUCAGAUUUACAAUAUUAAUCUAUAUUGUGUUUGUCCCCCGGGGUAUUAUCCCAGUUUGAAUUAUCACUUUAUCUCUUUCAUCAUUAACAUACUAAUCCCUACUUAUUCGUUCUUGGUUUGAAAAACAGAUAGGGAACUUGCUGCCAAUUGCUCUAUAUGAAAUUACUUACGUCAGAGGCCCUUUUCCGAAGAAAUAUUUUAGUGAUAAAUCCUUUCCUGCUAUAGGUAUCCUUUUUCAGUUAAACCUAUCAUGUUAUCAGUCUCUUUCUGUUAUCUCUGAGUUAAUUCUGUCAAUGCUUAUUUCAUAAACAGAGAGAGAAAAAAAAAACAUGCCCAUGUAUGCUGAUUCACGCCAACUGAUUGACUUGAUGGAAAAAGGCAUGUUUCUCUUUGCUAGUCUAUCAUCCUCUGUGUAAAACUUUAUGGUCUGCCCUAUCAGUUGUGUUUCUUUGUUGUCCGUAGGAGUUUAUGAUGCAUUCAAGAAUAUAUGGCAUGAUAUUAGGACCAAGCUAAAAAAUAGCCGUCCUAUGUUAAUUUUAUAUCAUUUCUGAAACUAUAAUCCUAAAGCUUCAGGAUGACUGAUGCAGCUGGUUAUUUGUAGUUUCUUUCUGUUAUUCAAACUCCAACAUGCAAGAACUGUUGAUAACUGUCAAUCUUGGACUGAAGAAAGGGACACCAUGCAAGUUUAUCUCAACCAAUGAAAUAACACCCGAUCAGACGAGGUAGUCAUAUUGAUAUCAUGAAAUUGUUACCCUGGUUUUCAUCUCAUGCAGUUGAUUUUGGAUAGCUAGAACCAUUUAGAUAAGAAAUACCACUGUUUCAGGAGUUCUGCUUGUAAAAUGGUCCAUACAUUGAUUCAGUUGAUGAGAACUUUGGAUAAGAUGCCAGAGGAGGUAAAGUUUUAUGGUACUUUUUAAAUACAGGCUUCAUUAUUCAUUAUCAGUUCAUGUUUUAUUUUUUUGUAAAUUAAUCUUGUUUACAAUAUCAAAUUCUUUUCCUCCAUUUUUUCUCAGCAAAUAAUACUGAUAUGCCCUUCACUCAACUUUUGUAGCCUUUCCUCUCUUUCUUUACAUGUAUGAUUUUAUCAAGAUUGGUACCAGAUAUUUUUGGCGUGCAGCCUGGUGAUUAUGAGCCUCCUUUCUUUAGAAGCUGCAGUGAAGAGGAAGAUUUCAAUCCAUGGACCAAAAGUCCUUUAAAAAUGGACGUCGGCAAUGUUAACAACAAGCAUUUUGUAUUAGCUCUCAAGGUAUGGGGCAGUUAUUGCAGGAAGGAUAUAGUAGUUUUCAGUUAGAUGUUCAACCAAUUCACAUUCUGUGGUUUUUUCUUAGCUUAAGAGCAUGCUUGAUCCCUGUGAGGAUGAGAAUGAUGAUAAUCAAGACAGUAGUGUGAGCUUGGGAGCUGAUUCCUUCCCGGGAGAUGACUGUGAGGUAUAACAGUUUUCUCCUUGCGUUGGUACUUCAUAAAUUUUUUUGCAUGGACUAAAAUCUGCGUAAUGGUGACGAUUUCAGGUCAGUCACUCUGAUAUUGAUUAGUAGUACAUAUAUCUGUACUUUAUUUAGUAUAAUAGCUUUGCAUUAUUUUUGAAUGAUGUAUCCUAAUAUGUUAUUUAUGGUACGUUGACCAUUUUCCGAAUUUACACAUUGUUGGUUUCUAAUUUCUCUACUCCGAAAUCACUUGCUAUUAUAGCUAACACCUAACAGGAUCCUGUUACAACACAAGAACUAGCUUUGAUAAAUUCAUAGAGAGGUUUAGGCUGUAAUUUCAAAGUUAGCAAGUUCUGCCAUUAUUUAUCUUGCAAGUUUAUCAUAUUUAAAAAUGUGAUAUCUGCAUUGUGUUUGUCUUUCAGGUAGUUUUACUAGUUUGAAUUGCUAGUCCUAAAUGGUUUUGAAUUCUUACUUUAUGUCAUGUGUCAUUUACAUAGUUCUUCUUUGGUCCUAAAAACAGACGAGGAACUUGCAGGGGCGGCUCAAGGUGGAGGCUAGUAGCCUUUGUUUUAGGCCCCCUAAAUUUUGGGGUCCCAAAAAUAUUUUUAGUUGUGCAUUUACUAUCUUAUUUUCGUUUAGACAAUAUUGAAGUUUAUAGAAAAAGAAAAAGAAUACAAAAUCCUUAUAAAAAUGGAAAGAAAGUCUAUCUAUUUUUUAACAAUAGAAAUAUUUUAGAACUUUGAAUCAAGAUACUCAAAUUUUCAUAUUGAUAAAUAACAUCUUUUACAAUAAAAUCCUAGGUAACGGAUUGUAAAUACAUGGAUAACGUCUUAUUAACUUGAAUUUUCUUGUCAAUGUGAAUAUUAAUAUUAUAUUUUAUAAGAUAACUACACUAUAGACAAAAAGAAAGAAAUAAAGAAAGAAAUGUAAUAUUAAUACUAUAUUUUACAAGAUAACUAUACUAUAGACAAAAAAGAAAAAAACUAGGUCCCUUAUUAAAAUUUGGCUUUAGGCCAUGAGUUUUAUUGAGAGCCUUUGGGAACUUGCUGUCAUCUGCUUCAUACAAAUUUGCUAACGUUAGAGGCCUCUUUUCGAAGAAAUUUAAGUCUGUUCCAACUCGAGGUAACCUUUUUCUGCUAAGCCUGUUAUGGUAGCAGUCCCUUUCAAUUCUCUGAGUUAAUUCUCUGCUAUAACAAUUCUUUUCAUUUGUCGGUGUGUUCGAUGCAUUGCAGAAAUAUUUUAAAAGAUAUUUGUCUUGGGUGUGUGAAACAACACGAGCCAAUGGAUGCUGAUAACUAAAAUAUGCGGACAACCUGUUCAUCUAGUGAUCUCCCUUUGAGUGGAUCCAGCCUCACACAUGCUAUACAAGAGAGACCAUCAAUCACACAUGAGAUUAGCACAGCAGUAACGUCCGUCUGGCAUCUUCAAAGAAGCUGCGAAGUCCAUCCCGAAGUUAUUUCCAGUUCUAGUUGUCAAGAGCAGGGAGGAUUUCUACAAUAUGGUGCCCGAACAAGAUGAGGCCUCAGAUGCAGUCUUUAUCCAACAGGAUGUGACUUUAGACGAUGAGUUACUGCUCCAAUUGAAGAUCUUUGCGCUACAACAUGACAACCUUUAUGUCCUUCCAAGAAAGACGAAGGAGGUUAAAGCACCCGUCGCCCAAGUCAAUCAUGCUGGCAUAGGAAUAUUUUUCCUAACGACAGACAUCUUCAUAACUAGCUUAGCAUUUCAUACGUGGGUUAAGUAUGGUUCCACUAUAUAAUUGGAUGGUGCUCUAAGUCCAUUACUUCAUUCAUUAGCUAAAUUGGCUAAAUUGCGUUUGAAGUGAAGUUCUAAGAGUAGAUUCAAUAGAUUCUCUCGACAAUUGAAGGUUUGAAAUAAUUGGUGUACAUUUGGUAUAUGAAUUGCAAACUGCUAUCCGUUGUUAUAGUGCUAUGGGCAAUCUACUCUCCUCCUUCCUACCUUUUUGAAUGAAAGAUUACUUUUCUUGUUUCUGUGUCUUUUGACUACUACACUGUUACAAGCCAUUAUAUGCUCCACAUCGUACGUAUCAAUGUCAAAGUAUGCCUCAAAAUUUAAUUGCAGCAAUGUCAUAGGCCUCUGCAGCUUCUUCUUAGGUACCUACAGAAUUGAUCCAAGAGUUUAACUUUUAUAGUGUAAAAGGGACUACCACAUCACCUAAAUGACACUAGAAACAACCGUUCUUAAAAAGUCAAAUUAGUAACUUGAAAAUAAGGUAGGUAACAAGUCACAAUAGUAUAAAGCACAUGAUCGUAUAAAAAGAAAUUUGUGUCGUGUAUAAGUUAAAUCCUUGAUCCAAUGAGAUUGAAACGCAGCUCCACUGAAAAGUCAGCCAAGUAUAUGCAGGGGCAGUUCUCAUACAGGGGAAAGUGUAUAACAAGACAAAGAUAAGGGAGGAAAAACAGCAGAAAGAGAGAGAACCAUAUUUAGACUUAGAUUAGGCAGUACAAAGUGAAUGAUUCCCAUUAUAAAAGACAGCCUCAUGAGUAAAAGCCAGCCUUGCUGACAUAAAGUUCUCUACAUGCUCUUGUUGGCUCGUGAUCAGCCUUACUACAAACUUUAAGACUUGCCAUUUUUUACUAACAGAAAAGAUUUAAAAAAAAAUUAUGCCUUUAUAAUACUGAACAAUCCUUAUUAAGAGUUUUAAGUUGAAUCUAAGCGCACACUUUACACAAUAAAAUUACAUUAUCUCGUAUGAGAAAAGGAAUCACAGAGCUAGUAGUCAAAUUCACUCAGUAAAUCUCCCCAAAUAAAGGUACUUGUUCCCAGCCACUCGGCCGAUCCGAGCUUUCCAUCUUUCGUACUGAUGGUGUCUGCUAAAGCGAAGAUCAACAAGGGCGAUUUUCAAUUUUAGUAACAACAGAACUUCAUUUCCAAUGCUAAAGUUGCCUACUGAAUUGUAGUGAGUAUUUUCCUUGUCACCCCUCGAUACAUUGAAGCUCCUCUUGAAAAAUUACUACUCUUCCUGCAAAAAUUUGGACAAAUCAAAUGAAUACGAGUACUAAUUAAGUGCGGGAAUUGAAGCAGCAACAAGCCUACCUUCUUAAUUGAGCUACAUAUUCUUGUCGUGUCAUGUUUUUCAUUUUCCUACUGCGUUAGAGGUUUUAAAAAAAUUAUAUGACAGCAUAAACAAACAAAAUACAGUUGAUAAAUAAUCUUUAUAUACUACUGCAUACCGGGAAAUUUAUGUGUGUUGAGAGUCCCUAGUACUUCAGUGCUGCCAAAUCAUAUGAUCUUGCAGCUUUUUCUUCCACGUCAUACCCACCUAGAUUUAUGAUAUUUAUGAUCAUCUGGUUAACAACAAGAUAGACAUAUACAGUCACGGCUCAAUCAUUUCACAGAAUAUACAACGUAUACAGAAAUUUAAAUUAAGAUUUACCUAGAUAGACUGAAAAAACCGACAUGCAUCCCCAACAAUAAUCAUGAAGGAGGAGAAAAGAGAAGCAAGUUUGUA